RNAcentral lists this long non-coding RNA (51972 nucleotides) under Citrus maxima (pomelo). Its description in RNAcentral is "long non-coding RNA (CMAX_LNC001481)". Lineage: Eukaryota; Viridiplantae; Streptophyta; Magnoliopsida; Sapindales; Rutaceae. The record is from RNAcentral.
ACCUGAUCACCAAGAAUCCCAAGCAAAGUUUCCCUCUCAUUUUCCAUCAAAUCAUGUGAAGUGCCAAAUUGAAGAGCAGCUCUUGCAACGCAAGAAUUGUCACUUUGAUUCUCCGCUCCAUACUUGCAACAAUCUUCAGCCAACUUUCUCGCUACAAUAUUUGAAUACAAAAAUAUUGUGCACAAGAACUAGUCAAGAAAAAAAAAAUCAAAUAUUAUAACGAAUGCAAGAGCAAACAAACAACCUAUUUCCAUUUGUUUCAAGCUUACUGCAACAAGCCCUUCAAUGCCACGAACAAUAUUCCUCUGAAAAUGCUGCGCUACAGAGCAUAUAUUCCAAAUUAUUGUUCAGAUAAAACCAUAGAAACCAUCAUAAUUAUUCAACAUACAUUAAGCUCCGUUUGGUAAAUACUUGCAACUUCAGUCUAGAGAAUACAGUUCUAUAUAUGUAGCAGUCUAAAGGAGGAUGGUGCCUUAGCUGCCCUGGUGGAAUUGUAUAGAUUUUGAAGUUGUUGGUGACACUCAAUUUCAGCUUCAUCAACUGCCUGUACAAAUCAUAAAAAACUAAUGAAAAAAAUAAAUAAAAUCGAGAAAUUUCACUAAUUAAAAGUCUAAAUAUAAUUUUAAAAAAGAAAGAAACGCACUUGGUGCUGCUUGGCGACUUGUUCUCGGAGCUUGAUUGCCUGUUUCUUGAUAGCUUCCAUACUGUUUCUUUCAAAAAGCGGCGACGGCUCAGCUCAUGGAAGUUGGGGAAAAAAAAAAGUGUGAUCAAGAAAAUAAAAAGGCAUAUUAUUGUUGACAAAAUGUGAAAAUAAAAAAGAAAAAAGAAAAUUAUAAGUUUGAAAGGAGAAGAUGAUAGUGGAAGAGUGCGGCGUGGCUGCCAGCUACUUGGAUUGUAUUGUCGGGUAAGGUAAUUGUAGAAAAUUAUAAGUUUGAACAGAGCAUGUUAGACUUUUGUUGACCAAAUUCAAAAGGCAAAUGGCACGGCCCAGAAGCUUUGGAAUACAGUAACUUACAAGAAAGCUCCAUUUAUUCUUCUUAUACUUUACGCUUGCAUCAGCUUAAAUCACUUCUUAAUCGCUUGCUUUAACUGCGCCGCUUUGUACUGUUCUAUAUAUGUAGCAGUUAUGCGGAUGUAGUUCACGGCUGAGGGUACGUGUUUGUUUGACGUGGUAGUUACGUUACGACGUUACGAGAGUAUUAUUAGUUAUUUCACAGGGAUAAAUAAGAUUAGUCACAAUAAACCCACUAGUUUUAUAAAAUUCGAGUAAUAUAGAAUAAAAUAAAAAAUGAAUACAAAAUUGACUUUUAUUUUUUAUGGUUGACUAUAUUUUGUGUUCUCUUCUGGUACUACUACAAUUGUUCCCUGUAUAUCACUCAUACCCAUAUAUCAUUGACACAAGAAAUGAAAUCUAAUGUCAGAUGUUUAGUUAAAGAAUCACUUAUGAAAAAAUUUUACCAUUUUGAUUUGAGGAUCCCUAUUUUGAACUGCAAGCUAAUGUUCAUCAAGAACAGAGUAUGGCAGUUGAGUAGAAAAACUAUUUUUGGACAAAUUAUUUUUAUUGAUAGAAGAAUUUCUCAAGGGACUACUAAAAUUAUUAAAAAAAAAUGUCAAACACGCCCAUAUAUCAUCAACACAAUUGGUUUUGAGAAUCCAUACUUUAAACUGCCGCCUAAUAUUCAUCAAGAGCAGAGCAUGGCUUGUGAGUAGAAAAUUUUCUGAUUUUGGCCCCAAAUAAUCCAGCACUUUCUCAUGAAGAAAUGCAUACAAAGCAUACCAUGGUACCAUACAAUACAAGGAGUCUCCGUUCUCUAGUUUUUCAAACUCUAAAGGGGCCAAUACUCCCUAAUUCCCCCUCGAAAAUUCUGAUUAUGACAUUAUUCAUCCCUCGAUGCAAUCAAAGUAGUGACAAAGUUAGGAAAAAUAUGAGUCCUAAGUAAUUGCUAGGCAGGGCUCCUGUGAGCAAAAUUGUCCUAAGCAUUAUAUGCAUACAUGGUGUGGUACAUAAAGCACAAUGAAUUCCACACUAUAACACAAACCCAGAAAGAGAAGAAACAACUUAAUUGAUGUAAAGACAAAAAGAAGAUAAAAUGAUAUAGAAAAAAAAAUUCAAAGAGAUAGCAACAUACUAUAGACUGAAGCCACUUGAUCUGCUCAUUGAUUGCAGCCUUAAACUUGCAAAUAGUUACCGUAAGCUAGUGCUAUAAGAAGUGAAAAUGAUGCACACCCUGAUUCCCUUCGACUUCCAUUUACUGUCAAACAUUCUAUUAAUACAAAAAAAUUGUUCAAAUAUCUUGCCAUAAAUAUAGCCGUUUGACUGGCUUAAUAAAGUCACAAAUAACCAUUCAUAUUGAUCCACAGUGUCACACCGCCUGCUUUAUGCAUACAACAGCUGUAUGUAUACCAACUCCUAACCUUAUCAAUACAUUUGGCAAAAACUUAAGAAGAAAACUAUUUCUCCAUCUCUUUUUUGAAAUUUCACAAUAAACCAGCAUAUUGUAAACGUUAUGUUGUAACCUUAUGAUAAAUGCUCUAGACUCCAAAUGAAUUUUAUAUAUGAGGGUUUGUUGCAGCAGAUAUAUUGACUUAUCAAGUAUGAAUCAUUGUCUAGAAGAACUAUCUUUAGAUAAAAGAAUAUUAGAACCAUUCUAGAAUAUCUUUAGGUUGCUAGUUCUAACAGGAAUCUGCAUGUGGCAACAGUUGCCAGAUCCACAAUUCCCCAACUUGAAAUACAUAGUUGCACACCGUGAGAUAGUGCUGCAAUCUACUGAGAUCUAACUUAUAUGAUACUUUAAGCUACUAAUGUUUGCAUAUUUCUACAUGUUAAAUUGACACUACCAUCUAUAAUCACUCUAAAACGACAGAUGAUAAGCAGCUUUUGGCUACUUAUUACUAGCAUCCACAAUUAAUUUUUGUUCAGCAAUCAGCUUAUUUUAUAGAAAUUGAUUUAGUCAGCAACAAACACUAUAAUCCUUGAAAUUAGUUCUUGUUCUUUGUAAUUUUCUAUGAUUUUUCAUACAUCAAUUAAUCUGCAGUGCCAAGAUGAGGUUUGGUUUUUCAAACUAAAUAAUCAAGUAGCAAAAAUACAAAUUUAGAGAUUAGGGGGUGAACUAGCUAGGUGGUUUACAAAUAUUCCUAUUUGUAAGGUGAAUUAAUUGAAUCAUGAGAAAACAAUGUGACCAUAGCUCAAUAUGAGAUGAUUUCGGAGAGGCAUAUUGUUUUCAAGUGAAUUUGAUCCAUUAAGAGAUGAAGUGGAUUGAAGUGGAAAGUUUAAAUAACAAAUCCUUGUUCUUGAGUUUUACGACGUUGUUACUCCUUCAGGUGGCAGAUUAUGCAAGUGAAUUCAAAAACACAAUGCAUCAAUCACGGGGAUGCUACACCAAAAGACGGGAUCAUAGUCUAUGCAUUGAACAGUUACAGUUGCUGCUACCAAUUGACUCGGCAAAGAUCAAGAAGACUGAACGGGAAGUUAAUGCCAUCAAUGUCGUCUUCACUAUAGCUGCUGGGAAUGUAGGUGAACUUUCCUCAUUUGCGGCUGUCUAUACAUAGGCUUUUCCCCAGCUUAAGUACAAAUAAAUGAACCUGCUUUGAAGGCUUUAUUAUUGACCACAAUAAGGAUUACUAAUUGAAGAAGACUAUACGGAGUUAAUCCCACACUUUCGUUCUCUCAAUUUCUUUCAGAAGUGCCUCUGAAAAUAGCUGCCAAACCGUUAGUCAGCUUGUUAGACUCUGUUUUCUGGAAACAGAGCCCUAACUAACUGACUGUACAGAGUAAGUCAACAUAGCAUAUUUAAUCGUUUUAAUUGAAUUGUCUUCGUAGCGAUCAUCAACAAACUCAUCAUGAGAUUUUUGAAGCACCCAAGGACUAUCACUGGGUUUCUCUUCUGGUUGAUUAAUUAAUUAAUCAAAGAACGGUUGGAUACCCAAGGACAAUUAAAAUUAUUCGACUUCUGGAACUGGGAAUGAAGUGCAAUGAUGGAGCAAAAUUUACAAUGUCUCCGGUUUCUCCUACCAUCGGACUUUUGCAGUGAGAACAUAUAACAAAAAGGCCUUCAUCAAAAUUUGUAGACUCCGGGUAUGGAUUGGAUCGAUUUUUUUGUUUGAUAUUGAAGAACCUCUUUACUAUCGCGAUAUAGAUUAUGUGCAAGGAGUUGUCUACUGUUCUUUGCCUUGUGCUAUGAUCGGUGCUCUUGAGGCUGCCCUGAAACACAGGAAAAUACUUCGAUAUCCUCCGUUCGAUGAUGCAAAGAACCGGUUAAUGUAUGAUUACCUAAUUGACUCAGGAUCAGGUAACAACAACAACAAUUUAUUAAUAUCACAAACGAAGAAGAUCGCGGAGAGGGAGAUGUAUGCCUAUACUGUUUACAGGUUUGAUCCAUUGGGGAUGAAGUGGUCUCAAGUCGAAAGUGAUUUAUUAAACAACAAAUCAUUGUUCUUGGGUUAUACCUCAUGAUGUCAUCAAGUGGAAGAUUAAGAUUAUGCAAGACGAAGAUCGUUUGAUAUUGAAGAAUUUGAACAGAAAGCCCAUAGAAAGUACUUAAAAAAGCAUAUUCUUGUUGGGGUAGAAUAUUGAGAAAGGAGUUGUCUACUGUGUGUUGCGUGAUUAUGCUAUGAUCUGUGCUUUGAACAUUGCCCUGAAAACAGUGGAAAAUACUUCAUAUCCUCGACAUGAUGAUAAAAAAUUGGUUACCGAUUACGUAACUGACUCAGGUGACAACAAUCCAUUAAUAGCACAAUUUGAGGUGAUGCCGUUUAGGUAUAUGGUUAACAGGUUUGAUUCAUCAAUGAUGAAGUGGGCUUAAAUUAAAAGAUCAUAUAAUAAGUCGUUCUUCUUGGGCAUAUCGUCAUUACUACUUCAAGUGAUCAAAGAUGAAGAUGAAGAUGAAAAUUGUGCAAGUGAGUUCAAGAAUACCAUACAUCGUUACUUGGGAUACUUCUUCAAAUAUGGAUGGGGUCAUAAUUUACUCCCACGAAUUUCAACCCAAUUUUAUGAUUGGAGUGUCCCACCAUGACUCAGAAAAAUUUUGAUUCAACCUCCUCCACCAAUGGAUUUUGAAUAGUCACUUUGUGAUCAAGCAACUUAAUUAAACUCAGAGAGUCAGAGUUCGAUUUUGCUGGCACCGCAUUUUCUUUAAAAUGUGGCCAUGUAAGGAGAGCGGCACAUAAUGUCACUUCCUUAUCAAGCACUUUAAAGAGGGAUUUUAGAAGAAGAUACAACUGCAAUUGUUUUCGUAUGUAUAUAUAUAAACAACAGCACACAUUCAGUUCAUAAAAGAAAUUUUUGCUAACCAUGAUAUGUGGUAGUGCUUUUUAGGCAAUUUAGAAACAGAGUUGUUCAACUUACAGCAGGUAUUCUCCUCAAGUUCGACGUAAAUACAAAUAUUAAUUAGAAUCCAUAUUAUAAUGACACACAUAACUUGCUUCAAAAUUAUCAGAAAUUAAAAUUGCUGAUUCAUAAUGCAGAUAACUUGGAUGAAUUGAUGUUAAAGGAAAAAUCACACGCAUAACUUGGAGAGCAAUUGCGACAGCAGCCAAGUAUAUAUUUUUAUUUGAGAGUUGAGAAGAAUAUAUUUAAUGAAGCUUGAUAACAUUUGAUGGGAUAGCAAGUAAGGGUAAAUAAGAUAUUUUUAUUUGUUAUUUAUUUGAAUUAUAUCUAUUUUGUUCAAGUUAAAAUACUAAAUAUAAAUUGGAGGUAGACAUUUUAACAGAUCAUCUAAGCUCUCAAAUCUGAAAUUUUGUGUAGAUUUAAAUUCAUAAUUUUAGUUAAUUUUCAUUCAUUCAUAUAAACAAAUUUAUGAGAUUUUUCUUUUCAGCAUGUUAUAUUUUGAAACUUUCAAUGUAUUAUUCUAGCUUUAUUUAAACAAUUAAUUUAUUUAAUUUUGAAUUUGAUCAGUAGUAAAAUUAUUUUUAUAUCAAAUUUUUUUUAUUUAAAUAGUUCGUGGAUUGGACAAAAUUAAAAAAUUUUAAUCUACAAAAUGGUGGAUUAGAUAUGAAUUGGGUUAAAUCCACAUUCGAUUUGCAGUCGUAUGAAUUUGAUUUGGAUUGAAUUUCAUCAAUCCAUGGAUUAGAUUGGAUUGAAAAUUUAUUAUCCGCAAAAUCGUGGAUCGAAUAUGGACUGAUGUCCAAUCAGCAAAAUCCGAUCCCCGAACACGCCUCUAUCAAAAUUUUCAAGAAUAUGUUUUAUCUUACAAAUUUUUUUUUAAAGUCAUAAUCUAAUGGCAGCCCAAUUUUAUAAAGUCACACACAACCAUUCUUAUUAAAUUAGAAAGAUCAAACACUGCACUGGAUCUUGAACAGAUCAACACAAGUUGCACAACUUGCGAUUGAAUCCGGCCUGAAACAAUCAACUCUUUAGCAAGAACAAUUAAUCAGAGUCAAGAAACAAGUUUAAUGAAUAUAAACCUAUAAUUGAAACAAACAUAGCAAAGAAAAAAAAUACAGAUUUUACACGGUUCAGUUGUACCUAGGAUGGCACAACCUACACCACGAGAGAAGCUUUCUGGUGAGAUUUUAUUGAUGAUCAAAGAAGAAUCUUUUGACAAAGCUAAUAAUAGAGAUUUCAGAGAAUAAGCUAUAACCUCUCUCCCUCUUCAAUCUCUCUCUAUUUUGUUCCCAUUGAUGACCCCAAUCUGCUUAGUUAGCCAGCUUUAUAGCUGCAUCAGUAACAAACCAGCAAACCCAGAUUGAGCAGAUUGACGACACGUGGAUAACGGCUUUAACGAACCUGGUUAAGAACUGCUCACAUGUUCGUCACGCGUACUGCUUAAAUGAUGGCCAAAACGACUUCAAACAAAUGUCGUUUUGAGGCUUAUGAAUUACAAGUGAUAACACGAGAUUGUCUCAUGACUUUUAAAUGCAACAACGUGCCCAAAACGCUGUCGUUUUACUCUGUUGAGUUUGAUUCAUUACUAAGCUUUACGACUGGCAAUGGAGAAGAUGAUAAUUUAAUUGAUAUGGACAGUUUUUAUAUCACUUUUACAAAAUCCUAUGCAAUUGUAAUAUUGGGAAUUAUUGAUGUUUUAUAUGUGAAUCCUCAUUGGCAAAAACUAGUGGUUUUAUCUUUGUUGAAAUGUAGAUUACCUCUCGUUACUAUUUUAUUAUAAACAUAUAGUUUCGUAAGUGAAACUAUAUAUUUAUAAUAAAAUUAACAUAUAGUUUCGUUACAUUUCUGCCUCAUUAAGAUUCUCAAAUACCAGUCAGGUUUGCUUAAGAAAUAAAAUUUUUCCAUUAAAAUUGCAGUAGUAUUUCCAAGCAUAUCGCAUUUUCUAUGAUUUUUCAUAAAUUAAUUAAUCUGCGGUGCCAAUAUCAGAUUUAGUUUUUCAAACUAAAUAAUCAAGAAAGCAAACAUACAAAUAUACAGUUUAGAGGGGUAAACUAGGUAGGUGGUUUAGAUUUUAGAACUAAGCCAGCUACCUCACUAAAUUCCGAUUCGUACAGUGAACUGCAAGAAAUUGAGAAAACAAUGUAUUUAUAAUUUAAUAGAAUCAUAAGAAAACAAUGUAGUCAUUGCUCAAUAUAAGAUGAUUUCGGAGAGGCACAUUGUUUUCAAGUUAAUUUGAACCGUUUAUAAGAGAUGAAGUGGAAUGAAGUUGAAAGUUUAAAUAACAAAUCCUUGUUCUUGAGUUUUACGACGUCGUUACUCCUUCAAGUGGCAGAUUAUGCAAGUGAAUGCAGAAACACAAUGCAUCAUCCGCGGGGAUGAUACAUCAAAAGGCGGGGUUUGUUUAUGCCUGCAGAUUAGCAAUUUCACUCAUAUCGAAAAUUAAUUUUUUAUAUAUACUAAUCAACACUAAAUUGAUUAUGUGUUGUAUGUUUAUAUGCUAAUCAACACGAAAUUAUAUUGAAUUAUUAACAUUCAUAUUCCUAAUAAAAAUUAUUUUCCAUCAGUAUUCAAAAUUUUCACUUAUAGAAAAUGCGUUUUACGUGAAUACUAGUUAUUGUGUAAAUUUGAAUGAUAGCGAAAAAUAAACCUAUUUGAAAACUGUAAGGGUGUGUUGGGAUAUUUUACAACUGUCGGAAUCUGGUAGGAUAUUGCACCAUUUGCCCAAUAUUUUUAGACGUACUCCAACCGGUAUUCAAGAUAAGUAAAAUUUACAAGCGUGGCAAAAUAAAAAAAAUUAAAUUCGUAAUUUGUAAACGAAUUUUCCUGACAUGUAUAGUAGAUGAAGUUGUUGACCCUUUCUUUGGAUUAUUUCAGCUCUGGUUGUUGGUCACCGAUGAGCCGAAGUCUUAUUUUAAUUCUAUUUAAACUCAUCAUAAGAUUCGUGGAGCACCUAACUAACUUAACUGACUGUGCAGAGCAUCUCAACAUGGCAAAUUUAACCAUCAUUCAAGUGAUGGGUUUAAUAAGACUGCUUUUGUUCUACCAAGUUCCUCCGCCUCUAAGCAGAAUUACUAUUGAAGGGCCAAAUGGAAAAUGAAAACGUGUGAACAACAACAACCACCCCACAAAUUCAAUGACGAUGCUCGGAGAGGGUUAGGUUGGGCCUCUGAGAAAAAAAAAAAUUAUUUAGUUAAAAAGUUACCCUUAUUGAAACCUGUAUAAAAAUUUUAUAUUAAUUAGUUAUGUUGCCUCUUCAACUAUGAUCAAAUUUUUAUCUGAGCUCAUCAUUUAAUGAGUAAACAUGUAUUUUAAUGAUCUCAAUUAAUAUUUAGAACAAAUAUUUUAAGAAGUAAAGCUCAUUAUAUCCCCCAUUAUUAUGUAUCUCUGUAAUGUAUUGAAUUAGAAGAAAAAAAAAAUUCAACUCACUCAAAAAAAAAAAAAUGCUGGUAGCUUCGUAAUAAUUACUGUCUUGACUGCACCAGAUAAAGUUUUGUAAAAGAAUUCUGAUAUUUACCCCGGGUCAAACCCCGAAAAUAACUUAAACGGUGUCGUUUUGAUUUUUUUUUUUUUUAUACUCCAAAACGUUCUUACCAUUUCCGUUUCACUUACCAUUUAAUGCUCACAACUCAAAUAAAAAGCCCAGAAACUAGAAUCAAACUUUACAGAAACUAGAAUGCCCAGAAACGUUGUAUAGCAGGAACGUAUGUAAAGAGAGUAAACAAGAGGGAUUAAACAGAACAUACGUUUUCUUCACUUAUUAUUAGCAACAAACACCCUACACAACACACAUUUAAUGCUCACAACUCAAAUAAAAAGCCCAGAAACUAGAAUCAAACUUUACAGAAACUAGAAUCAAACAAUACACAUUUCAUUUCUUCAAGGUUAGGGAGAGACUCAGGGGAGUGAUUAAUUAACAAAAAUAAGAAUAAUAAUACCAACAUUUGUACAGGUCAAAUAAGAAUAAUAAUACUCAACCUAAUACCCAGUAUAUACAAACAAAUGCCCAGGCCAUCGUUCCUAUUUUGCCAUAACCUAAAGAGGAAAAAGCGAAGCACUACCUCAGGCUGUGAACUUUGCCGCUUCGUGAGUUUAAUUUCCCGAACAAGUUUCGGCUACCAGCGUUACCAGUGUUGACGGUGACCGUGGCUGUCAGCGUUGACGGUGACCGUUGGUGGAUCCCGAAUGCCUGGACCUUGGUCGAGGAAGGAAAGUAACGAAUUUUUUGAACAAACGAAGAAACGAAGCACCGAAGAGAUUUACGGUCAAACGGAACAAGACCAACUUGCUCUUCUAUCUAUGGCUUUCCCAGUUGAAACGAAGAAACGAAGAGGAAGAGGUUUAAUUCUUCUCAAAAUCGUCCAUCAGAAACGGCAACGUUUUGGAGUAUAAAAAAAGAAAAAAAAAUCAAAACGACGCCGUUUAAGUUAUUUUUCGAGUUUGACCCAGGACAAACAUCAUUUUCCUUUGUAAAAUAAUAAGUUCUCAUUAGUGGUUUUUAAUUUUUAAUUUUUUUUUCGGCACACCUGAUCAAGAAUUCUAUUUUGUUAACUAAUAAAUUGCAAAGCAUAAGUGUUGAACGGUACAAAAAAAUUUGAAAAAAAAACACUUAAAACGUAGGGAAAUGAGAAAUAUAGAAAGAAAGGAAGAAAGUUAAGACAUGAAACUGAUCUGCCGUGAAAUUGAUAAUCAUGUUUCUAUUUCGUUAACUAAUCAAACGGAAAACUGGAACUGUAAACAAACAUUAACACGUGUGGACUCUGCUAGCUGCCCUACAAGUCUACAAUAAUAAUUGAGUACCUUUGAUUCAUCCUUCUAUGAAUUUCUAGCUGUAUUGACCCCAACUGCUAAAGUUUUGUAAAAUUAAAAAAAAAAAAAAAAAAAAAAACUGGAAUUUCAACAAAAUUCAAAACGUGAGAAAUUUAAUUUUUGGCCAUGUGGAACAAAAUGUAAAUUACGGAAAAAGUAUAAAUCUCAAUUGCUUAGUAUGGUUAGGUUUUGUGAGCAUCACUAGAAAGUGAAAACUAUGAAUGAUAGGGGUGAUGUUUGCAACAUGAAUAAACGAUGAACUGAUUCAAUUGAUGAUCGUAAUUAUAUAAUGAGCAAAAUUUACAAAAUCAACAAAAGUUAAUAAAAAUUUAUUUUAAUAAUAAAACUUAUUAUUUAACGGCGCUCUAACCAUGGAGUACCAUAAUCAUAUUCUUCUUUUAAGAAAAUUAUAACUUAUUUCAAAUAGCACCAUAACAUAAUUCUAGAUAUUUAAAAGAAAAGCAUUAUUCACCUGAAAUGACUUGGAAGUCUAAAGAAAAAGAGGGAGUGGCUCCCCACAAUUUUCUUGUUUUCAGUAUAUUUUCUUUUUAAAAUCUUUUGACUCAUACAUAAUCUACCCUCGUUCAUUAUCUCUAUUUUGCUCUGUUCAAGUCCCUUUUUUUUCAAAUCUUAGUUUAAAUAAGAAAAUUGAAUAAAAGUACAUUUGUGUAAUUAAUUAGUAUCUGCGGGGGAUAUUUGGUGUAAUGUUUUGCUAUGUAAGACUCAGCUAUUAUUAAAUAGUUCCUUAACCUGUUUCGCAGUUUAUUUGCUAUCUUUGUGGAUCUCAUAGGCGUUGCAGAAUUUAAUAAUUUUAUUCGUCAGAAGAAUAGGAUAUUGGCUUCAAUAAAUUUAAUUUAAACCAACUUUUAUUUACUCCAUCAAUUAAUUAAUGCCAUUUGGUUUUGAAAAAUUCAAUAAUUAAAUUCUCACGUUUCAUGUGUUUGAAGUUAAAUUAUUCAUGGGUAAUUAUCACAAACCUCCCCUGAAGUUUGAUGUAUUAUCAAUUUGAUAGAUUGUAUUCGCGUAUUCUCAGCCACCUCCCCUUAAGUUAGUACACCGUUUAGUAUAAGUUUAGUGAGUGAGGGCAAGAUAGUAAUAGAACUCGUUAAUAAUAAAAAAUUCAAACAAACUUAAAAAUAUCAAAUUGGAUUCUGAAAUUGAUUUGAAUUUUGUUAAUAUUCCAAUGGGUAAAAACAAAAACAUGAUUUUAACCAACAGACAAUAUUAUAACAAAAAAAUGAGAAAGGAAAAUGGCAUCUUCUUGCUCCAUUCAGACAAGAGCUAACAAGAACAACGCCCCUUUCAUCUCUACUAUACUUUAAUAGAAAAAGGGUGCCACGAUCGGGAGACCAUGACGAUGAACUCGAAGACGCCGAUAGCAGGGACGACCGAAUCACGAACGCCAGGUGGAAGAAUGUUGACCAGUGAGUUUCCAUGUUGACCCACAGACAACCUCAGUUUGUUCGAGCCGCGAAUGAGGUAUGAAAAUGCUUAUUACUGUGCAUGUCAGUUUUAUUAGAUGGAAUUAAUCAAUUUGGUAAAAAUGAGUAAUGGGUCUCGACAAUUUUUUGAGAGUAUCUAUGUUGCUUCCAUUGUUUUCCAUCGAUUGGGUUAGUUGUAGGUUAAUGAUUGUUGUAAAUGCAUGUUCACCUGAUUUUGAUUGAAGAUGGCUUCAGCUACAUUAUGCUGCCUUGUGAAUGAUUGAAGAUGGGUAUGAAAAUUUUUUAAUUGUUUAAGCUAUUGCCACUGAUUGUUUGGAUUCAUGCUAGUUUUUAUUAAAUUACAGAUGUAAUUAAGUGUUGGAGAUUCCUUGUGCCGCAAUAUUAAUAUUUUGAGGAUACUUGAUUUUGUUUUUUUUUCUUUUUAUCACGAUAUGUACAUGUCUUGGUUGAAAAAAUGUCAUGAUUUGCUGCAUUCUCUCACACUGGAGCAGUGAGUUUAGUGGUUUUAAUUCUUUUCUUCUCUUUGACUAUGGCUCUACUUCACUGCAUUCAGAUGUCUUUAUUUGUCCAGCGUCAAAUGAUAAAGGAACAUAGUCUCCUUUUGAUUUCAGUUUGUCUUUCUGUUUUGCAGCCAAGAGGUUCUAACUACCAUCGAGAGUGAAAGGCUCUCCAAGUCAAGGCACAUAGCUCCUGCUGCUCUUGUUACUUUCCCUGAAGAUUUUGAUAAUGGGCUGGUGAUUAUUUAGUUUGGUUUCAAAUUAUGUUCUCGACAUUGUAUUUUGAAAUAUUUGGUUGGUGAGAUAAAGUUUAUUAUUAUAUCUCUAAUAUGUGAGAUGGGAUAUUUCAAGAUGGUAUUUUGGUUACAAUGUUUUAUUUGGUAUUUACAAUGUAAUCACAGCUCUUGGCGCUAAAACGGAUAUGACUAGCCAACAAUUCUUUGAUUUGUGUGAACGAAGUAUUUUUUUUCAACACAAGGGUAUUUUGGUCAUUUUGUCAAGUAACAAACAGUCAACUAAAUGGUAUACUAACGUUAGGGGAGGUGGCUGAGAAUACACAAAUACAAUCUAUCAAACUGAGAAUACGCUAAACCUCAAGGGAGGUUUCUGAUAAUUACCCAAUUAUUCAUUAACUAGAACUCUGUUCAAAAUUGACUGUCUUGUGGUUCCCAAAUGUAGUUGUAAUAUUGAAUGAAGGUAAAAACUUUCUAUGCGAGUUUAAAUCUAAAUCUGGACAAUGAAUUUUGACUUUCUCAAUGCUAUCCUAAUUACAAAAAUUAUAUUAAUUGAUUUAUUGUUACAGUUACUAGCCUUUUAAAAUGGAUGAAUUUAUUGUUUCCGUGACCAAAUUAUGCCUGCCUAACGGUGCAACUAUUAAAAAAACUAAUAUUUAAUGCAUAUGUUAAAAGAUUUAAAAUUUUAUGCAUUUAUUAAUUGUUAUAAUCUAAAAAAAAAUAAUUAAUUCAGGUCAAUCUGAGUUGGUGCAUCUGCAGGAGCCUUUUUUUUAAAUUUUUUUCCCCUUAUUGACCAUAAUGACAUCUCCUUCAACAUGACUAUUGACUAGGAGCAUGUAAAAACAUGGAAACAGAAUUUCCACAAAAAUGUCAAACGUGUGGAACUUAAUUUUUGGCCAUGGGGAACAAAUGCAAAUGAAAGAAAAAGGAAAAGACGCCUCUAAGAUUUGUUUCAAUGGUUUACAUUGACUCUUUAAUUUAAUUUAUAGUAACACAAUUUUUUUUUGUACAAAUAUAUAUUAUUCAUGUUUUGUAUUAUUUUUUAACAUCAUAUUUUUAUUUAUUAUAAAUAUUUAAAAUUAAUUUUUAGGUUGAUAUUUAAUAAAAGGGUAUAAUCGUUCUAUCCAUUUCUCAUCUCGCGAUCUCUCUCAAUUAUCCUUUAUUGAUAUCUCAAAGCGCGUUGCUGUGGAAAAUUGUAGCAAAAUGAAAAAUUGGAAAGAAAGGGAAGAAAAUUAUUGCUUGGAGAAAACAACCAAAUAAGUCAACUGGUCUUUAGUGAGAACAUAUCAUUUGUUUUGAUAUUGAAGGACCUACUUCUCUGCCGCGAUGUAGAAUAUGUGAAAGGAGUUGUCUACUGCUCUUUAGGUCAUAAUAAUGUGAUUGGUGCAUUCAACGUUGCCCCGAAACACUGGAAAGUACUUCCAUAUCCUCCGAAUGAGAACUGAUUUAUAUAUGAUUUCCUAAUUGACUCAGGAUCAGAUGACAACAACAACUUAUUAAUAGUUAUAUCAAAACGGCAGAAGACGUGUUUUGUUUACAGGUUGAUCCAUUUGGAAUGACGUGGUCUCAAGUCGAAAGUAAUUUAUUGCAUGCCUGUCGUCUAAAGCAUUACCUCACAAGGUUAUAUCAAAGGGUGUUUUACCUCAUCACGUCUUCAAGUAGAGGAUGAAGUCAGCCACUCGGCCUUUGGCCGAGUGGUGAGAGCUGCUCUCCAAUUUGGAGAGCAGCAGUUCGAACCCCCACAAUGUAUUGUGGGGGUCUUCCUUUCUUCAAUUAAAUUUGAGUGAAGGCAGUCUGUUUUUUUACCCAAGUGUGAGUAGCAGACAUCCCUUGAAAGUGUGAGUAGCAGACAUCCCUUGAAAGGAAUGAAGUUAUAGUCUGAUUUGUAAAUAUCAGUUAUAUUCUCAUGUAAUAUGAGUUGUAGUUUGAGCAAUAGUCUCAUGUAAUCAAAAAAAAAAAAAAAAAAAGUAGAGGAUGAAGUCUAUGCAAGUGAAUUCAGGAAUAUUGCAUGCCUGUCGUCUAAAGCAUUACCUCACAAGGUUUUAUGAGAGACGAAAGAUGUGUUUGCUUUGAACAAUUAAAGUUACUGCUACGGACCUCCCCAAAGGUCAAGAAGACAGAACAGGAAGCUAAUGCCAUCAAUGUCUUGUUCAUUAUAGCUGCUGGGUAGUUAGGUGUAGUUUCCUCAUUUGAAGCUGUCUAUACAUAGGCAUUUCCCCUGCUUAUGUACAAAUAAAUGAACAACCUUGAAGCUUUAUUAUUCGCAACAAAAAGGGAUUACUAAUUGGAGAAGACUAUACAGAGUUUCUCUCACACUUUCUCUCUGUCAAUUUCAUCCAGAAGGUCCCUCUGAAAGCUUCUCCCAAAACAGUUAGUCAUCUUUUAUGCUCUGUUUUCUGAAAGCAGAGUCCUAACUAAAUUAAUUGACUGUACAGUGCAUUUCAACAUAGCAUAUUUAACCGUUUUAACAGUUAUUUGGACCGUCUUCAGAGCUAACAUCAACAAACUCAUUCAUAUGCUUAAUAAUGAACGAAUAGUCUUGGAUCGAUGUUUUGCAGCAAGAGCAACUCGACACAAUCUGGAUUCAACCUCCUCCUUUCUAACAGGGGAUUUCGAUUUGAGUUACUUUGUGCUCAAGCAAAUUCACAUCAUAGUUUUGAUUCUUUAGAUAUGAAUUCAUCACAUUACAUGUAUCAGAUUAAGUGUAACAAAAUUUGUAAUUUACUGCGAAAGAAUAUGCACUAAAAAAUGAUUUCAAGACUAUUUGACUAUAAAAAGCAGCUGUCAGAGUGCACUAAAAAUUUCUGUAGGAUAUUUUGUAGCUGUUUAAUAUGUUAUGAUGGGCAUAUAAUUCUCAAAUUUUGAUGCCUCUCAGUGAAAAAUAUAUCAAAGUUUAGAUUAUGUGUUCGAGCUUUAAUAAAUGGUCGGAAAAAAAGCUGCUGUCAGAGUGCACUGAGUUAAUAAUAAUAACAACAAUAAUAAUAAACUAAAAAGCAGAAUUAAUUACUAUUGAAUGGUCGGAAAAAAAAUUGAAAACGUGUGAACUCCAAUAAUCACCCCACAAAUUCAGUGGCGAAUUUUGGCGAGGGCAAGGCCGGGCUUCUCAGAAAAAAAAUUAUUUAGUUACAAAAUUAUCUUUAUUGAAACCUAUAUAAAUUUUUUUUAUAUUAAUUAGUUAUGUUAUCUCUUCAAUUUGGUGAAUAAAUGUGUGUCUAAAUAAUUUCAAAUAACAUUUAGAACAAAUGUUUUGAGAGGUAAAGCUUAUUUUGUCUCGCAUUAUUAGGUGCAUCUAUAAUUUCUUAUUUACAAAAUUAUAUUGUACGAUAAAAAUGUAUUGAAUUAGGGGGAAAAAAGGUCAGCUCACUCAAAAACAACAAAUGGUAUUAGCUUCGCCACUGCACAAAUCUAGAAUAAUAAUGAUUCCUUAUCAUGCUGGGGGAUCCUUUACUUUCUAGCCGUAUUGACUGCACCAGGUAAAGCUUUGUAAAAUAAUAAGUUACUCAUUAGUGGUUUUUAAUCUUUUUAAUUCUUUUUACCGCACACCUGAUCGAGAAUUUUAUUUUGUUAACUAAUCAAUUGCAACGCAUAUACCGCACACAAGAUUGGAAAAAAAAAUCUUAAAAAACGUGCGGAUUCGGUAGCCACACCAGAAAUCUAUUACAAUAAUUCCUGGCCGUAUUGAAGUUUUUAAAAUAACAAGUUCCCCUUCUUGUUUUUUUUUUUUAAAUAUAUAAGCUUAUAACAAUUUUAGAAUAAUGACUCAUUUGUAGAAGAAUUUAUGAUUUCAUAUUAAUAUUAAUAUUGAAGUGGGGUGGGUCAAAUCUCAAUUGCUUGAAGAAUUUAUUUAUUAUUAUUAAUAUUAUUAAUAUUGAAGUGGGGUGGGUAACGGAUAAGCGGUUCACUCAGUUCGUGGCGAAUUAAAUAUUACCAUCCAAGGUAGAAUUGUGGAAAAUUAAAGCAAAAUGACAAGUAUGGAAAGGAAGGCUGAAAGUAAGGCAUGACGAAAGGCUUUGAGAAGGCUGAAGACUACCAAAGAAGACAACUGAAAGAGAGAAUGUGUGUUUUUUAAUAGUUAGAGAUAUAGCUAGAGUGGGUGGCUCAAAAUCCAAAAUGGUGACAAUGUUAGUUCUCGUAUUGGUAAUCUUGGGGGGGGGGGGGGGGGGGGGAACUCAGGGGAGGUCGAGUGAGGGAUGUUUGGAGCAUGAGAAAUUUGAUCUUUUGCGGCUUAAACAUUUCUUCAAUUCCCCUUAUACACUUCAAAACUGGGUAGGUGAACAAAGGGAAAGGGUUGAGUGCAGCAACUCCACAGGCCGCGUGGUACAACUACACCUUGGUCUUACUAUAUCGAUCUGGGAGAGUGGUAUCUGAAUGCUUCUAUAUUUACUUCCUUUCAACAACUUGGUAACAAAAUAGCCGGCUGCAUGCGUUGAGAAUGAAGGUCCUUCAUUUAAUUUAAUUUACUUAAUUUCUCCCUCCUAAUUAAUGUCUAUAACCAUUAGGAGGAACAAGGGAUUUUAUUAACUCAAAUAUAUCUAAUGGAGCUCAUUCUUUGGUUUUACUUGCAGGUCUAGAAGUAGGUGUCAUCUAACAGCUGCUUUAAUAAUUUCCCACCCCUUCAUCUUUGAUGGAAAGAUGAAAUAAAAACAAAAUGGUGAAAAUGGUAUUGGUACCUGAGGCUAUGUAAUCUAAUUCAAAAACUGCACCAUCAAAACGAUUACAUAAGUCUCAGAAGAAUCAAACAUCAGUUUGCAAAAUAUCAAUUGCUGGAGGUUUGAUUCUAACUUCCGCUCUUCAUUUUUAUGGGCAUGUUGUGUUGUACUUGCAUCAGAAAAUCAUAUUUUAGUUUAUUUACACUCAACGCUUGGAUUAAAGUUUUAGAGGGGGGGAUUGAAGAAGACUAGAAUGACACAAAAGAAAGAGUUGAGCGAGUGCCGCUUUUGUCGUCAUUUAAGGAGCUCUUUAUAAAUUUUAGGAUUUUUUUCCUGAGAAAAUUUAUGCCAACUCAUUCUUUGCUUCUUUUCUGAAGGGAUAGAUGCAACCGAAACUAUAUUCUUGAAUUAUCCAGGAUAAGAGACAUACGUUUAGAUUCUCGAGCCUUUAAAACAAUAUCAAAUUUUAGAUUGCCGAAAUUUUAUAUUGCCGAGUAUGAUGGUGUUCCAAUUAUAAGCUCCAGGGUGCAACUUCACUGAGGUUUAGAAUGCCUUCCUAUAGAAUUGAGAAAUCUCCAUUGGCAUAAAUAUCUUUUGAAAAUACUGCCAUCAGAUUUUGAAUUGGAGAACCUGAUUAAACUCAGCUUGCCUUCUAGUAAGGUUAAGCAAAUUUGGAAAAGAGAAAAGGUAUAAUGUAUUACUAUUACCAAAGUAUCUAUUUUUCUUUCUUUAAGUAUUUAUAAUGAAUAACUUUGAAAUUCAAUGAUGGUCAUUUAAUAUAGUUAUGUAUCUUUCAUUAUAGGAUGCUCUCAAGUUAAAAUUUAUAGACCUUCUCCCCCUGUAUCUUGAUAGGAUCCCAGAAAUCCUAAAUCUUAAGAAAAUAAAUCUUUCAAAUUGUGAAAGCAUGCUUACAUUACCCCCGUAUAUCCACAAUUUCAACCAGCUCAGUAUGUUGUGUUUCAUGGGAUGCAAAAUUCAUUUUGUUGCUCAUGAAAGAAUUGACUUGUCCGGAUGUAUUAAUUUUGCAGAUUUUCCACAGAUUAUGGGAAUAUAACAAAGCUAGACUUAAGCGAGACCCCAAUAAAAGAAGUUCCCUCAUCAAUAGAGUGCCUAGCUGAUCUGAAAACGUAGCGUUCGAGUAAGUGCACGAGGCUGAAGAGGCUUUCCAACAAGCAUUUGUAAAUUGAAAUCUCUUCUUGAGUUUUAUCUUUAUAACUACUCAAACCUUGAAUGUUUUCCAGAAAUCAUGGAGAAAAUGGAACGUUGAAAGAUAUAAAUCUAGCAAGGACGGCCAAUUACAGAGCUACAAUCGUGAUGGUCUUCUGGAUAACAUUAGCAAUUUAAAAUCUUUGAGGUACAUCUCGGCUAAUGGAUCGGCCAUUAGUCCUCUGUCGGAGAUUUGGCUGUACUUAAAUAUCUAUUGUUUUCUCGAUGCAGAGGUUUUGUAUCAUUGCCUCCAAUAUUAUUUUCAGGUUCAGGUUUAUCGAAUUUCGUACAACUAACUUUAAGAGACUCUGCUGUAGUGGAAAUUCCCCAAAACAUUGUUUGGCAAUCCUCAUUGAAAAUUUUAAAUCUAAAGGCUUGUUUGUUAACUACUUGAAGUAUGAAACUAAUGAUUUUUUUUAAUUUAUAUUUGAUUUUGAGAUAUUUGUAUCGGAAUUAAAAAAAUGAACUUUUGUGACAUUUAUCUAAAUAAAAAAAAGCUUAAUGAGAAGUAAAUAAUCCCCUUUUUCGUUUUGACUUACAAAAACAUAAUGUUAACUAACCAUGUUUAAGAUAUUUUUUAUUUAUAAAAACAAAUUAGAUGCUACUUAUAUUUAUUAUCGAAAAUUGAAAAACAAACAUGUUAUUCAUACAUUUAUAUUCAAACUUAUUCAGUCUUCAGCUAAAUACAGAUACAUUUAGAUUUCAGAGAAAAAAAUAAAUACUUCCUAAGUGGGAAUAACUUUGAGAGUUUACUUGCAAAUGUCAAGCAACUUGCAAGGCUAGAAUAUCUUGACUUGAACGGUUGCAAUAUGCUUCAGUCAUUAACAGAGCUUCCAUUGUUUCUAUAUUUUUCAGAAGUAAGGAAUUGCAAGCGCUCCAAUCUUUGCCAGAGCAUAGAUUUCAUGUUUACCAAUUGCCUGAAACUGAAUGAAAACGCAAACAACAGCAGUUUGGCAGAUUCAGAACAAAGGACUCAACAUAUGGCAAAUGCACCACUGAGACUAUUCCAUGAAAAGGUACCCCUACUCACUUUCUCUGUCCAAUCUUUGCAUCUGAUCAUCUGGGAUUCAAAUCCUCUACUCAUCUUGCUACUUGGCCUGCCAUUUUAACAUCCACUGACUGGUCGUUACCAAAAAUCAAAAACAGUAAAAUGAUACAUCUAAACCAUGCAUACAUAACCAAUAAUGUAUAUGUGUUGCAAGACUUUAGAAAGGCAAGAUGAGUAGAGUAUCGGCUUUGGUCUAAAAUUGUGGUUUUUAUAUGACAGCAGAAGCCUCAGGUACAACGUCAUGUCAGCAUUUGUUUACCUGGAAGUGAAAUUGCUGACUGGUUUAGCAAACAAGGUUUUGGAUCUUCAAGAACUAUCCAACUUCCACCACAUUGUUGGAACAGAAACUUAAUCAAAUUUGCUCUUUGUGUUGUUAUUGAACUUGAGGAAGGUUUUGAUGCUAAUGUUGAUGAAUUUUUUGUCCACUGUUUCUGCCAUUUUGAGAUAAGGGAUACUCCCUCUGAAACUAAACAUGAUCACUUUUGCGUUAUGAAAGCCGUAAACGUCCAUUGACUCGGAUCAUAUCAUAUUUGGAUUUCAUCCCUGUUGGAAUGUUGAGUGCAUUUAAGUCCAACCCUGUUACUAUAAAGUUUUUUGCCAACAGUGAAGAGGAAUGCACUCAAAGUGUUCCUCAAAUCUGAAAAAGAUGAAUUGGAACCGACUCCCAAGAGAAUUUAAAGAAAGCAAGUUGGUUUCUCAAGUUCUGAUUUCUUAUCUAAGUCCAACUCUCCAAUUACACUUUCUAUUUAUUUAUCAUUGUGCUUUAUCAUCAUCAAUAUUAAUAUUAAUAAAAUAAAAAGCAGUUGAGAGCCAAAUAAAGCCACUUGAAAAUCACUCAGUCACGCUUUUGGGACAUCAUUCUGCUCAUUACUUUUAAUCUGUAUCUCCGUUGUUUUAUUUGGUAUUUAUUACCAUUAGCAAAUAAAGGGAUUAGUUGAUUAUUGUGAGCUCACUAGAUGGAGCUCACCCUUAAAUGUCGGCUUGUACCAAGGAGGUGCCUUAGGGUUAAUAAACCAACUAAUCCCAUAAUUUAUUGAUGUAGGGUCCUAACAAAUUAUUGCAGUAGGUCAGUACACAGCUCGAAAACGUAUUUGAUCCAUACAUUGAAGAUGAUUCAAUAUUAAGCAUGUCAUAUAAUCUGGAAUAGGAUAUUGGACCAAUUUGAUGAUAAUGACUUUCUUUCAAUCUCAAUCUUUAUCUUCUUCGCAAUAUGACUAGCCAUUGCAAACUCAAACUCUGACAAUGAUUUCUCAAUCGCUUUCUAAGAUAUUGAGCAGGUAUGUAUAUGUAUGUGUGUAUGUGUGUGUGUGUGUGUGUGUGUGUGUGUGUGUGUGUUUGUGUAUAUAUAUAUAUAGAGAGAGAUCACGAGUGUGUGAUUUCCUUUUGCCAAUAAGGUAUGCAGAGACCUUGAUGUUACCCAAUAGCAAAAAAGCUUCCUAAUAAGUGAAGGUAUAGUCUAAAUACUUACACUCUCAUAUUAUUUUGUUCAUCAGCAGUUUGAUUAUUUUAUAUGCAUCUUUGAUUUUAGUUUUCUUUCCCUAUAAUUGCUAUUAUCUUUGAACUGGUCAAGAUUUGCCUAUAAGAUUUCUCAUGUUGAUUUUAGGUGCAAUGGAUUUUGAAUUUAGUGCAGGUGCAGAAGCUCGAAGGCAAAUUAUGAAAAAGGAUAAAGAUCUAUAAUUAGCGGUUAUGGGAUGUCAUAUAUCAUAUGGAUGGUAAUGGGGUCGGAUCACGAGUCCAUUAAUAAUCAUAGAUUGGCUUAUAUAUUUCAAACAAUGUACCAUGAAGUAAUUUCACAAGCACUUGUUAGUCUAUGUUGAGCUUUAUUGAAUCAGUAGUUCACAGUUCAAUACAAUGCAGGUUUACUAUUUGAAGUAAAUGCUUAUGGUGUGCAUUCUUCAUAAAACUAACUACUGAAUUUUUCGUUGAAACUUGCAGAAUGUAACAGAGAGAUGCAGAUAGCAGCCACAAAACACUAAGAUUGAAAAUCAGGACUACUAAAUUCUAUUACAAGCCCUUAGAAUAGACAACGAUCAUCCUCGAAUGUAUAUACUGAAAGUAAGAAAUAUUAAUCGUAAAGUUAUGCAUCAACAGAACUAUUAACUACUUAUCUUUAGCAGAAGAUUUAUAUUUUUAGUUGCAGCUCUCUACUUUGUUCGAAGAAUUAGGCAAAAGUGGCAUAUCUCCAAUCCAAUCAGCAUAUAUACCGCUCAUCUUCUCCAGUUCUUUCCGCUUUGAUUUGCACUCAUACCCUGCACUUGCUGCUUAGAAAUAGUCAUAGUUUGCACAUUGACAGUAGAAAAAGUACUUGAAACAGUCGUUGGCACAGCAUGAGAUUCCAUUGAGUCAUGGUCUCCAAGCUUUCGUAGUUCUGCAAAGAAAAUGACAAAACAUCAUGCUAUUGGCAUUCUACUUUUAACAAUUUUCCACAACCUGAGCUAUUUCAUAUCUCUCUAUAAAUUAUGAUCCAUGAGUGGACCACUGACGGAUGCAAGUUUAUUAUCACUUGUAACUGCUGGUUCAACCUUCAGAUAAGUUUGUGAUAAAGGCAUUUACGAGUACAAUGGCAAAAUUACAUGAACUUAUGUUAUCAAUCAUUGUUUUGCCUUCUCAUGAUAGAAUUCAAUGCAACAUAAAACAUUGAUAUAUUUGUACCUUGCCAUGCCGUGUUGUGAACCUAGAAGCAAUGCAAAGUGGAAGGAACAUAUCAAGCUAUCUACUGUAUAUAACAAAUUCUUACUAGCCCACAAUGCUGUGCCGCCACAUUGAUCAAGUAACACUACUAUUUCAUUUCCAAACUGGCAUAUAUAAUCUAAUGUUGAACAAACCAAAUUGGGAAUCAUCAUUCCUUACAUUAAGCUGACAUUCGUACCUGCUAGUCCAUGGGCAAAGUUGCAUAUAUUUUCAUACAGGCAGCUUCCCCUUAUCUCUCAGUUCCAACAGAGAUUUGGUUUCCCAUCACCAGCCUUUGAUUCAUUCGAUCAUAGAUACUCCGAGUUAGCAAGCCCCUUGUUGUGUUCCCAUUGAACAGACCCACUUCUGUUAUCCACAGAAGAUCCACCACUCAAAAUACUUAUCACUGAGCUAUUCCUAAACUGAGUAGAAACUUUCGCACAUCUCUCCGCAUUUACGUUAAGAAAUCGACACCUAUCCUCAUAUUUGCAAGUUUUCUGAUAAUAGAACGGUCUACAAAGCUGCAUUUCGUUAGGCAAUCUAGUCUCUCCAUUCCUCGCAAAGUGACAUUGAUUCCCGUAUUUGUAAUUGCCUAAUUGGGGUUUUGGCAAUAGCCUGAUCUUAAAAUUAGCACCCAUUACUUUGUUCAAAGCCACUGGCAUCCUCAGAUUAGGAACAACAUUUUCAAAUUUUUUAGCCCUGUUAGUCGAAUCACAUUCAACAGGAUAGUGAGGCAGCAUUUCACCAACAGAUUCAAUUUGACUACUCAUAUUGAUGCACAUAUAAGAAUUUGAAAUCACUUUUUCUUGGAAUAUUUAAUGACCAGACGAAAGUUCUUGAAUGGAAAUUAUUUAAUUUGAUUUGAUUUCCAACAAAUUCAAGAAACCCCAGAUAGUAACUAAACAAAAAUCAAACAAUAAUACGCAAUGGGUUUCUUUCUUUUUGCUUUUGGAGGGCCAUGGAGAUCUGGAGUGGGCUGUAAGUAAAUUAUGCCUUCAUCACUGGAAUGACAAAUUUGUAGAAGAUGAUAUAUGGGGAAGGAUUGAAGUAUUGAACAAAUUAAAUUACGUCCAUUGUGAUGAAUUAAAAAUAAAAUAACAAUUUUAACUUUAUAAUAAAAUUUGAUGUUAUCAUUACAUCUUUUAUUAAAAAAUUAAAUUAAUCAAGAAUGAUAUUAUUUUCUUUUAAUGUUAUCAAACUAAUCAACCUAUAAAAAUUAUAAAUUGUGAAGAAUAAAUACAUACACCACUUAAAAUGAUAUUUAUAUCAAAUUACUAGUUUUUAAGUUUUUCUUUUCAGAUGUUGAAAAAGAAAAAACAAACAUGUCAUUUAGAUAUUUUCAUUCAGACCUAUUCAGAUUUAAACUAAAUACAGACCUAUUCAGAUUUCAAAUAAAAAACAAACACAACCUUAGUAUAGCACAGAGCUUUUUUAGUGUAGCAUUUUAUAAGCAGAUUUUUUUUAAAAAAUUAUUAUUUAUUUGGUUGUUUUGCAUAGGAGAGCGUUUAAAGCUCCAAAAUCUUUGAUCAGUCAAUUUUUUUUUUUUUUGUUAGUAAAACUUUCAACAAAAAUUUAUUAUUCAUUUGAUCGUAUAUGAGAGUUUUUAUUAGUAAGUUAUAUAAAGUUCUUUAAUUUUUUUUUUAUUAGUGCAACUUUGUACAAGUACAAUUUUUAUUUUCUAAAAAAAAUUAAUUCAAUAAUAUUAGGAAUUUCAAUAUUUAAAUCCUAAUAUCAUCUGUCACUCAUUUAUUAAAUGACUAAUUUCAUAACUUAUAAAUUUAUUUAACUAACACCCAAUGAGUGAAUAUUACUAUGAUGAAGACUCAAAUUGAAAUUUAGAUGUUAGGUUGCGUAACGUUGCUCUUAUUUGGUUAUUUAUGAGAGCUUUCUUAUACAAACUUAUUUGUAUACAAAUUGAUAUAGUCUAAAUUCAUUAACUAGAUGAAAAUAUAAAAUAAUAAAAAUAAAUCAUAUGUACUAAGAAUUGUUUAAUUCAUCAAAUUGAAUUAUCCUACUUAUGUUUGUACCAAAUAAAUUUAUAUAAGAAUUUAUAAUUCUAUUUUUAAAUGUCCAACUAAAUUUUUAGUCCUUUAUUCUUUGUAAAAUUCAAAUUCAAAUGGCUCAUCAAAUAAAAUUAAAACUAUUGGCUAAUCAAAUAAAAUUAUUUGAAACCAUUGGGUAUGGUAGCUGGACCUCUUGGAACUAUCUAAGCCAUGAAAUUAACAGCGAAAAGAGUUUUAAAUGUCUAUUUUAUAAAUUUUUUAAUUAUUUUUUUAUUUACCAUUUUACCACCCAUAGUGAAAGUGUCUCAUCGACAGUUGAACAGUCAACAUAUCAGUCCUUAGGAAUUUACGUUUGGGGUAUUUUUGUAAUUAUAAGAAGGUAAACUAAUCGCAAAAUUCAUUUGGCUUGAACUUGCUCGCCUUCGCCCUGUGUAUGGUCGUGGCGUUAUCAAUAUCACCUUCUCCACUCGUACUGACACCAAACCUUAACCGUUCAGAUUCCCUUUCUCGAUUGUCAUACCCUAGGCCCCGUCUACGUGUCUCCGAUAAACAGUGCUCAAUUAAGGCCAUCAGAUUAUCCCGGACCCACAUUGAUCCAACGGCUCACAAUGACCGACAACCUCUAUAUCUCCAUUUCAAGCUCCCUUUUCAACUGGCUUCUGCUUCCGUCGUACUCUUUCUCGGAUUCGGAGUCCGUAUUUGCUCGGCCGGUCCCGCACAGCUCCCUCUCGCUCCAAUUGUCACCCAACAAGACCAAUUGCUUAAUCAAGGCACAGACCAAGAAGAGGAUGAGAAAUUGAAACAAGAAUUUGAGAAUUGGAAAUCGAAAACGUACCCAUUUGUGAUAAGGAAUUUAUGCGAAGUAAGGGAAAGAGAUUGAAGUUUCAGAUGAAUUUGUGUGCUAGCAUUGAUGGGAUCGUUAACAAUUUAUCUGUGCCCUUUAACAAAGUUAAGGCUAAGUCAGCUUCUUAUAUGGCUGCUGAUUUGGUUAGUGUUGGUGAUUCAUGGCUCAGCUUUGCGAUUAAAAAGAGAUUGAUUGAGCCAAUAGCUGGAGCUGAAGAUCAAGAUUGGUUCAAAUGCUUAAGUCACAAAUGGAAGGUAACAUCUUUGUCUUUGACCCGAUAAUUUUUAUUGUCUUACAUUGAAAUUUGGUAAUGUGGUUUGUAGUCAUUUUAUUUAUUUGCUUUUAUUUGCACCAACGAAGUCUCAGGUAUAUCUAUGCAGGAAUGAUACAGGAGAAAUUGAUCCUCGAGGUAAAAUAUGGGCGGCACCAUACAGGUGGGGCACAAUGGUGAUAGCCUACAAGAAAAGUAAAUUUCGAAAGCAUAAUUUGGCUCCAAUUGAGGUAAUAAUUGUCUUUAAAUUUUAUAUGAAACAAAAUCAAGACUGCCUUUCUGUUCAAUAUUUUUGAUGAUAAUAUCUUUAGAAGCAUCGCAUUGACGGGUAAUAAUGGUAUCCCUGAAAGAGUCUAUAAACUCAAUGAUAUUAUCUUCUACACAUGGUUUAUUAAACUUCUUCGUUGUAGUCAAAUGUACACUAAGAACAAUGAGAAGCUAUGCUACUGUAGCAUGUAGUGAUGGCGCUUAAUAAGUGAGUUGCUAGGAUGUGAACUAGAAAAAUUAAAUAUUGUCUCCUUGGGUAUGCUAGCUUGUAAGUCAGGGUUAAUAUUAGAAUUUAAGAUACUAUAACCAUGAGAAGCUAUUGACUGCCAAUUAAAAUAUCCAUUAAAAUGUCUAGGGAGUUAAGAAGGUGGAGGUAUCUUCCGAUUUCUAAGGCCACAUAGUAGACAUCAUCCAGGAUCCAAGGAAGGUGCGGUUAAGCUCCUGCUCGGUGCAAUUAAUAAAUUUGGUCAAUGCCACUGAAACCUGCUAACUGAUGUCACAAUGCACCAUGAGCACUUCAAAAUGGGAUAGACGGUCAGUAGCACUAAAUUUUUCUUGCCUAAGAUUGGGCAAUUGGUCUAACUGCUAACCCCUAUUGUAGGUUGAUCAUUAUUUUUUCAAUUAUGUUCAGUUUGACCCAAAAAGUUACAGAAUCUUGAUCUGAAUAUUGUCACCGAACACCGUCAAUGUUGUUUAGCAUAGCCAACUAACUAAAGUUUGGUAAAACAAACACACAUUGUGUCUCAUGUCUCACAAUUCAAAUUAUCAUCUGUAAUGAUGGAGGAUUUUUCUAAUGUAUGAAGUAUGCUUUGAUACGUGGGUUAGCUUGGAGAAGAUAUCUCAAAAUAAAGAACAUGGGGAGCGAAUGGGAAGAAAACAGUUCAGUAGUUUAUUAUUCUGUAGUCAAGUUUUGUCUCAAAAAUGGUCAAAAUUUAAAUGAAUAAGGACAGCGGAUCUUCAUUCUUUUUCCCUUUUUUAUGCCAAGAUAUCUCUCAACCUUUAUAUAAUCCCCACUGGAUAUCUACUUCUAACAAUUAAAAUAAAAAUUUCACCCACACAAAUAAAUACUGACCAAGCUCUAACAAUAAAAAGUAACAUCUUUAGUCAGGUAACCUCUUUACAGUUCCUCAUCAUCUUAGUGUGAGACUAUCAGUACGUUCCAAAAACAUAAUAAAACUGGUUUGAUCCUGUUUAUUGAUGUUUAAAUGUUGUUCAUUGUGACAUGUAGAAAUGAUGAGGCGAAGUUUCUUUGGUCAUCAAUUGGUAAGAUCUUGUUUGAAGUUGUUUUCUGAAAUGAACUGCCAAAUGGUAAUUUUUUUGGGCAUAUGAUGGCUCCUUUUUCCUCAUUUUAAACAUGUGCCUGCAUGGAACGGGAAGGAUUAGGCUGCAGAGUUGUUAUAUAUUUUGACAUGCAAUGGUUAUUACACAAUUUGUUCACACUGGAAAUUAGAAUGAGAAAUUUGUUGAUGCUGUUUUGAGAGAUCCGCAUUCUAUGCGCAUUAACAUGAUUAAUGAAAACAGAUUAUAGGACUGGAAAGAUCUGUGGCGGCCUGAGCUCGCAGGAAGAAUUUCAAUGGUUAAUUCUCCCCGAGAGGUUAUUGGUUCCGUUUUGAAGUAUAUGGGAGCAUCGUACAAUUCAAACAAUAUUGAUUUGCAAGUUGCUGGUGGGAAGAUUUCUGUUCAGCAGAAUCUGGCAUUAUUGGCAAACCAGGUACUCUUAAAGAAAUGAUAUCUGGUCAUUGCAUGUUAUUGCCUGACAACUGAUUUUGUUUGUAAAGUCUGCUUCUUCAUACAUAUGAACGCAUAUGUUAGUGUUUUCCUCUCCUUUUCAUACAUAUGAAUGCAUUUGUUAGUGUUGUCUUUUCCUUUUCAUACAUAUUAAUACAUAUGUUGGCGUUCUCUCCUGAAGAAAUGGCAAGGGAUGUGAGAUUCUGUCUCAUUAAAUUAACAAAAACCCAAAACAAUGAAAACCCAUAAUAAUGUGGUGUGGGUAAAUUGGCGCCAUUUGGUUCGUUUCCUUAAUGUGAAUACGCGAGCAAUAGAGACUAACAAAAUGAAGUGACAACAAGAAGUCAGUGUCGUCUGAUGGAUGCAUUUUUAGGCAGAAAUAGGUUUGUAAUUGACCAAAUUUGUCUGGCAUGCCAAUUUCAAAAAAAUUAAAUCAUGUGAUUAUUAGCUGUAAUGAAGGGAGACAGUAGGUGCAAUCAGGUGGAUCCAGGAAAGUUCAACAAAGUUCUGGUAUGGCGUAGUGAAAUUGGUUGUCCAACUCAAGAGUCUUUCAGGUGAACGAUGAUGGGUUUUGAUUUAUAAAUGUUAUAAAUCUACUAUGAAUAGUAUUCUAGCAGAAUCAUCUGUAAGUUCUAGUUAUUGAAAUUGUCUACUUUGUCCAGUUUGAAUUAAGGGCAAAUGUAAUAUGAAAAAUAGUUGCCGCAUCUUUUAGGUUACCUAACAUUUGAUCAAUCCUAUUAUGUGGGCUUCAAGAUGUCUAACAAUAUGUAGAAUGCACAUGCUCCUACCCAUUGUUUAUCUUAUACAAUAAUUUGUUUUAGAUGCUAAUAUCUUUGUCGAUCCCGGUAUCAAUAUUACAAUAUCUGCGUUUAUUGGGUUUUACAUAGGUUCGACUGUUUGACAGUACACACUAUCUGAAGGCAUUUGGAAUUGGAGAUGUAUGGGUUGCUGUUGGGUGGAGUAGUGAUGUUCUUCCUGCUGUCAAACGUAUGUCUAAUGUUGCAGUUGUUGUUCCCAAGUCUGGCGCUAGCUUAUGGGCCGAUCUUUGGGUAUACCCAUGCCUGCCUUUCUACUUCGAUAUUCACAUUGUUAUCUCCUUCAUAUUAGUGAUCAGUAAACACGAUAAUGUGACUAAUAAGUUCGUAUCCUCUUUAUAGGCAGGCCCUGCUGCCUCAAGACUUGAAACAAAACAAAUUGGAGGGCGAGUCAGAGGUCCAUCUCCAUUAAUCCAUCAAUGGAUAGAAUUCUGCUUGCAAACAGCGAGAGCAUUGCCUUUCAAGCAAGAGGUUAUCCCGGGCGCAUCUCCCUCUGCCCUUGAGAGUACUCUGGUUAAGUUGCCUGAAGAACUUCUGAAGGGUAAACCAAGUCUGGAUACUAACUUAAUUGUUGGAGUACCCCCGGCUGAAAUUCUGGCCAGAUGUGAGUUUUUGGAGCCAUUAUCUGAAGCUACUUUGUCAGAUUAUGAGUGGCUGGUUGCUAAUCAGCAAAAACCUGCUCCUGUCUUGAUGAAAAGGGUGCAACAUUACUUGUCAUCAUUGAUCCAAAGCUUUCUAGCAAAAGCUACAUUGAAAAGUUAAUGGCACUGCAUGCCAGUGAUUAUAAUGCUUCAGGGCAAUUGGGUCAGGGCAAUUAGGUCAGAGCAUAACUUCAUUAGGAAAAGAGGCUUCAGCUACAUUAAAUAUUACAGGAUGUACUGAGAUGGCUGAAGUUCUUGAGGUUUUAUGAGAAAUGAAAGAUGAGUCUUUGUUUGAACAAAGUUGUUGCCAAUUUUGCAGAGUUCGAGAAGAAAGAUCACGGAGCGAAUGCCACCGAUUUCUUCAUCAUUGUAGCCUCCAUAGUUGAAGUUUCCUCAUUUGAAGCUGUUUAUGCAUUAAGCUUAUUCCCUGCUCAAGUACAGGAAACUGAAGAAUUAACCAGACAUGAUAUGCUGAAAGAGGGAAGUUUUCUUCCUUGAAUGUGGCCUUGUGAUUUGUAGUGAAGUAAUAGGAUGAUCACUAGCAAGAACCCUAUCAAGGUAGAUUUUAUAAUGUCAACAUAUUAUUAAGCAUUUGUCAAUUUAGCACUUUCGCAAUGAUACAUUCAUAGCCUGAAAUUAAUUAUAUGAUCCUGAUUAAUCAAUUAAUCUUCAUGAGAUUUAACCUAGUUAAAACUAAGUACAAUCAUCGUUAACAAAUACUGAAAUUGGGUAAAUAUGAUCUCGACAUUGAAGAAUUUGAAAACACAACCCACGGAGGAAAUUACCUGUUGCAUGGGGAUGGAGAUGGUUACUGCAGGGAUAUAAAAUAUGUGCAAGGUGUUGUCCACUGCUCUUUGGGUUAUGGUGUGACUUGCGAUUUCAAGGUUGCCCUGAAACAAUGGAAAAGAUUAACAUAUCCUCCAAUGAAUGAAAACGGCUUGUCUAAUUCUAAUUACCGAAUUGACUCAGAAUCAGGUGGCAAUAAUAACAGGUCAUUAGCAUUACACAGUCCGAGUACUUUUCCAGGAUCAGAUACAACGUGGUCUAAUGUUGAUAAUAAUAGUUUAUUAAAUGACAAAUCAUUGGUCUUGGGUGUUGGUUAUAUACGUCAUUACUACUUCAAGUAGAAGAUGAAGGUUGUGCAGGUGAUUUCAGAAAUAAAAUACAUUCUGAGAGAUGCUGGUCUACCAUUGCAUGCCCCCAGAUAUAAGAAUUUUUUGAUUGGGGCAUUUGGCAAGAUUCGACAAAUUCUAGAUUCAACCUCCUCCACCAAGGGAUUCCAACUGAGUUAUCAAUUAUCGUAGCAGUUCUAUUAACUAAAAUUAGCAAAUAUAAUAUAAGAAAAAGAACAAUAAAUACACACUGAAGUUGAAUUGAAAAUGAAGUUGCAAGUUGCCGCCCAUAGCUGCUGACUAAUAAUAAAACGAGACAAAUUAAUUAAACUCAGACCUCUUUGUAUAUGUUAUCCUAACUUUACUUACCCUUGUUUGUAAUUUUCACUUAACACUUGAUGCCUAAACCAUUAAAACCAAAUGACCAUAGGGGUAUUUAAAGUAUGUAAAAAUAAACAAAAACACGUAAAAAAAUUCAAACAAUUAAUAAUUACACUCUAAAUGCACCACUCAACUCUUAAUAAUAGCCAUACUCUAAAACAAUCUACAACCUUUGAGGGGAGUAGCUAUGAGGAAAAUCCUUUUCUCAGUGGAUUGCCAUUGCCCAAUAGUUGCAAUGAAAAGAGACCACCUGCAACUGUGCCGGAAGAUUCAACUAGCUCUGAAAAAGAUGAUAAUUUAAUUGAUAUGGACAGUUUCCAUAUCACUUUUAAAUCAUCUUAUGUAAUUGUGAUGUUAGUAAGCAUUAGUGAUCUAUAUGUGAACUAUUAUUGGCGCCAUUGGUGGUUUUAUCUUGUUAAAAUAUGGAUGACUUCCGGUUACUAUUUUGUAGUACACAAUUUUAUUCAAUUAACAUAUACCUUAAAACCAUUAUGUAUGUGCUUUAUUAAGAUUCUCAAGUACCAAUCACGUUUGCUUAAGAAAUAAAAUUUUACCAUUAAAAGCGUAGUAAUAUUUCCAAGCGCUUCGCAUUUAUCUCAACAUUUUGAAGGAAUUUCGAGAAAUACACGGGUCCAAAAGUCUAGUCAUCAUCCUUAUUCUUGGUAUGAGUUGAUUUUUAGUGAUUAUCUAAUUGACUGGGGUGACAACAAUAGCACAACGUAGAAUUCAAUAAUAGAAUUCUCCUGUUUAAUUUGUUUUAAGUUAAAUUAUUAAUUACUUAAAACUCUGUUUUAAGUCUUUAAUUUUAUGUCUUGGCGUAUAUGCAGAGUUGGAAUCUUGAGUGAGUUGGACAUGACCUACAAUGAGAGUGGCAGUAAACAAACAUUAGAACGUGUGGACUCCGGUGGCUGCCCUGCAAGUCUACAACUCUACAAGAAUAAUUUCUAGCCCCGUUGACUCCACUAACUAAAGUUUUUUAAAAUUUAAAAAGGUACAUAGAAUUCAACAACAAGCAAAACGUGUGGAAUUUAGUUUUUUGCCGUGUGGAACAAAAUACAAUUUAGCAAAAAAGGACAAGAAAAAUGGUAAGAUUUCUAAAAUGAGUGGAAGUUGAUCCAUAUUUUACUGAAACGACUUGCCCCGAACAUCACGACGAUUGAUUUUUUUUAUUUAUUUUUUGAAUAACAUCAACUUUCAUAUCUUUCUAACCCCCAGAAUAUGCUCACGUUCUAGUCUAUCUUGCUAAUUUAAAAAAAUAAAAUCAAAUCAACACCAAAACAAUGAAAAGUAAAGCUUUUGAAUUUCAACUCCAGCUAGCAAACGUAUUCAGCGUUUUCAAAUUCUUCCCAUUGCAUAUCUUCUUCCUCCAUCAAUGCAAUAUUUGAACGAUUAUGAAAGAAUUUAAGAACAUAAAAAAUCUCCUAGGUUUAUACGGUGUAACAAAUUUAAAUUCUCAAUUACAAUAGAUAAUAAUUAAACUAAUAAUUUUUUAUGUACUUAUUUUAGUAAUUUCACCUAAGAAUAAUAUUGUAAUUAGAAAAAAAAAAUCUAAUGAGUAGGGUGGUCUUAUACAAAAUCAACUGCAUACAUAUAUGCAGAUGCAGAUAAUAAUUUUUAAUUCCUUUUUUUAAUAAGAAAAUUGUGUAUUGAGAUGAAUAAGAUGUUUAAUUUAAUUAAUUUCCUUACUUUCGUAUACAUUGUCUUUCUAUCUAGAGAAAGCUUGGUGUUCAGAACGACAUGAAGUUGCGAGUUGUCGCCCAUGGCUGCUGAUUAAUAAUAAAACGAGACAAAUUAAUUGAACUCAGGCCCAUAUGUAUAUGUUAUCCUAACUUUACUUGCUCUUGUUUGUUAAUAUUCAUUCUUAGAGAGGUGAAAAAAAUUACAAGUCUUGAAUAACGAGGAGUUUAAUUGCCUCUAACUUUACUUGGCCAGGCCUUCUAUAAUCUCAUUAAUAAUACAGAGAAUUAAUUAUCUUUUUAUUAUUAAACCAUCUUCAGGAAGAUUUUCCUUAAUUUGCUCCAGAAGAGUUGGAGCUGUGGUUCUGAUAAACCAAAGAAUUAGUAGCAAUUAAUAUUAAUAUUUCGCCCAUGGCUGCUGAUUAAUAAUAAAACGAGACAAAUUAAUUAAACUCAGGAGCAUUUAAACCACUUCCUUAUCAAUUGCGGCAGCCGUCUAUUAACUAAAACGCCAAUCUAAUACAAGAAGAAAGAACAUUUACAGACUUGGCAAUUGAGUUCAUUAAGAAGUAGCAUCGCAUUCGGGUGAUGAGUUUCCUUUUGUUAAUGAUUUUAGUCUAAUUUCAAUUGUACUGUGACCGCUUCUCACUCAAGGUAAGUGAAAGUUACAGAUGUGGCAAAAUAAAUAAUUAAAUUAACAAAAUGCUAACUAAUUUUCCUAAAUACCUAGGGUUGUACAAUUUCACCAACCUGGAAGAAUUGACAUUAAUGGACCGGUCUCCUCCCCAUAUAAUUAUAAUCCUUCUAGAAAGCUAGUUUUUAUUAAAUAUUUGCUUUUAAGUUAAUUUCAAUUAAAAAAUGUUUUAAGUUAUAUAUACUCUAAUGAGAUUCUGAAUUCCUUUAUUCCAAUAAUAAUGAAAACGUAUUAAAUUAGAAAUGAAAAAAUUGGUGUUGAUGAUUCAACCUAUUUGGAUAGAUUACGUGAAUAAAAUUGAAAUUUUGAUUUAAUUUUUGUUUAUUGUUAAUUCUCAUGCUAUCUUAAUUUCAAGAAUUUAGAAUGUUAAUUUGGUCAUGGAUUUCAACCCGUGAGUAUCAUAUUCUAGACUUAAUGGUACCAUUCUUUGAUUGAGGGCAAUGACUCUCACUCCUCUUGUAAAAAAAUAUUUUCAACUAUUUUGAUGACUUAAAAAUUGAUAGAUUUAUUGUUGUCAUGACCAAAUUAUUCAUUUUAAUGAAAUAUAAUUAAUGCAUCAAAGUUACCAGGUUUAUGUUCUAUCUUACCUCUGUUUCAUUUUUUUUUUUUCAGUUAUCAGCUAUGCCCCUGAGGCAUUUUGUAGAGUAUAGCUUCUGCUUACCUCUGUUUCAUUUUUUUUAAUAAAAAAACAAGGGAAGGUUUUUCCGAGUCAUCCAUUAUUUGAUUUCCGUCAAUCAAGAAAACGACCAAAUUAAUUUCUCUCCAAAAUUUCCAAAAGCUAGAAAAUUUUGUUAUUUGAAAAUAACAUCAUUAAUUAUAGAGUGGAUCAAACCGCGUUAUUGUCUUUCAUAAAAUUGAUGUCUUUUUAAGAGUCAAUACUUUUGAUGUACGCAAACCAGUCGACAUCAACUUAAACUUCCAUAUUUUUAUUAUUAUGUUAUUUAUUUUAAUCCCCGAUUAUUUGAUUAGCCACUAUAUAUAUAUCAAGAAAGCGACAAAAUUUAUUUCUCAUGACUUCCAAAAACUAGAAAACAACAUCAUUUAUUAUUUUUUUGCAACCCUAAUUGACAUAAACUUUAACUUUAUUAUGUUAUUAUUUCAAUCCCCCAUUAUGACCUUUCUAAUCCUCCAUUAUGCAUCUUUUAUAGUGCAAAUUUAAUUGCACAUCUAAAUAAAUUGAUUAUUGUUACUCCACCACCAAUAUUUCAAGGAAAAUUCUAUGAUGCCGUGAUUAAAAUUACGGUAUUAAUGCCGUAGUUAUUAUGUACCGUUAGAUUAGAUCAACGGCACAUAAUAAUUAUAAUUAUAUAAAUUUUAUUUUUUCAACAGGUUACAACCCGGUUAACAUUUUUUUAUAAGUAAAAGUUAACCGAUUAAAAUUAAAAAUAAUUAUUAUAUUUUUUUAGAAAAUUAUUAUAACUGAUUUAUUUUAAAAUCGCUCAUUCACGUUAAUUAGGGAUUAUGAUAGGACCGAAGUAAAACUUCAGCCGAUUCAUAUUGAGAGGAAAAGAGCAACUGAGUCUUUCUCCACUACCAGUCUUUCUCCACUACCAACUCCACGUCAUCGCCGUUCCGCCGUUUUGUUUCAUCAUGUGUUGGGAAAGGGCAGAGGUUGUUUCCCAGUGGCCAACUCGAAGAAGCUAAAGUUCGUUAAAUUCCAAAACACAUAAUCCUUGCAAACUAGAACGGGCAAAGGCUAUCUUUGAAUUGUGCUUUUUUUUCCUGUUUUUCGAGCCAGACUGCCCACCAAGUUAGCCAAUUCUUGGUACUAAUUUUGUCUUUUAGUAUUGAUUUUUGGGGAAUUCCUUUUUUCACCUUGAUUUUCUUUUGAAUUGUUUUAUAUCUGCUUGAUUUUCUUUCUUUCACUCUUUUGUAUUCUUUGGUUUUCUUCAUCAAAAUUUACUAUUUUCACAUGUUAUCUUGAUUAUUUCCUGCUAAUUAAUUUUGUAUUGUAAAUAAUCUAUUUGUUGGACUUCCAGAGUGAGCAAGUUAAUUUGAUUUAAUUAGGUGCCUAUUAUAAUAGCUUUUCUGGUUUGUUGUAGGCAAUUCUAACUGUAUUCUAAAUAAACUUCCAUAUGAUUAGAUCUUGAUAAAUGCAAAGGAUAACAAUGUUAUAAGCCAUUGGCCUAAGAAAAUGUGUAAAUCCUCUAUUUGAGGUACAAAUUUUCUCUCAUAUGUUUUUUUUUUUAUUUUGUAUUUUUUCACAAAGAACUGGUUGUUAAGAUCCUAUUUCAUUAGUUGAAACUGAUUAAAAGGAGAUUACCCUUCGGCAGUUGGUGGGAAAGAUUUAAGUUCAUCUUUCUGGAUCUUCUACUUUAGACUUAUCAUUCAAGAAAGUGUCAAAACUCGAAUGGCUGUAAAACUUUGAACAGAUUAUUAAUUAAUUUAGGUGCAAGAUCUUUUAUAACACUUUAAUAAGUUAUUACCAUUGCAUUCUUUUUUUCUUUUCUUUGAGAAGAAACCAUUUAACUUUAGACUAACUUCCAAAUUUACCUUUGUAAUUUAGCUAAAUAGGUAAAUUUAUUCAAAAGUUGUCCUCCUCGCAAGCUUAAGGUAUUUCAACUUUGCCUACAACUACAAGUUAAAGAGAAAUUAUCGUGAAAACCAUGCCACGGCCGCAGUAUUUAAAAUGUGCACAAGGAGCUUAGAGAACUGGGCUUUGUUUGAUUACAUGAAAGGAAAUGGACAAAAUUUAUGUUACAAAAGAAGCUUGGAGCUGAUAAAUGAUGCAGUAUGAGUGAACUUUUUGUCGCUCUUUGAGGAAUUUUUCUACAAAUUUUGAUGUAGCUAUUAUUUUGGUGAAUGAUUUAUUCUUUUCUUUUUUCUUCAAUAUUAUGAUUUUGUUUCCAUAUUUUAAUAGAAAUUAUUAAAAUUCUAAGGAAAUUGCACUAUUUAUCUCAAGAAAGUGGCUUAAUUCUACAUAUAUGAGUAAUGUUUCCAUAAUUACAAGCAUAAUAGUGGCUUAACUCCAUAAUUCUACAUAUAUGACAUCAAACCCAACUCAUGCUCACCCUUAUAUCAUUCUAUCUAAAUCAUAAAAUGACAAUAAUCCAACUCUUUAACAAUUUUCACAUUGGAUUUAAGUUGAGGCAAUUGACCUAAACUAAAUAACCUAAAUUCCAAAUAAAUGUGAAAUAACACAAAAAAUUUCUAAACCACACGUAUGACUCGUAAAUUGAAGGUAAAACAUGUAAAUUAGCGUUAGAGUGGUAAAUUGGUCUACAAAAUUAAAAAAAAUAAAAAAUAGAAAAAAACUAGUAAAUUGAUAGAAAAUGUAGUAAAUAAAUGUUGGAGUUGUAAAUUAUAAGAAGAAAUUGUAAACAAAACAAAAACUUAGAAAAGUGACAUAGAACUUGUAAAUUGACAUUAAGUGUGAAAUGAAAAACAAAACUUUGUAAACCACAUAUAAAACUAGUAACUUGAUGGGAAAAUGGGAAAAUUAAUGUUGGAGUUGUAAAUUGUAAGAAGAACUUGUAAACAAAACAAAAACUUAGAAAAAUGACGUAGAACUUGUAAAUUGACAUUAAGUGUGAAAUGAAACAAAAUAUUUGUAAACCACACAUAAAACUAGUAAAUUAAUGGAAAAAUGGGUAAAUUAAUGUUGGACUUGUAAUUGGCAAGAAUAACUUGUAAACAAAAUAAAAACUUAGAAAAAUGACAUACAACUAGUAAAUUGACAUUACGUGUAAAAUGAAAUAAAAAACUGUGUAAAUCACACAUAAAACUAGUAAAUUGAUGGAAAAAAUGGUAAAUUAAUGUUGGAGUUGUAAAUUGCAAGAAGAACUUGUAAACAAAACAAAAACUUAGAAAAAUGACGUAAAACUUGUAAAUUGACAUUAAGUGUGAAAUGAAACAAAAAAUUUGUAAACCACACAUAAAACUAGUAAAUUAAUGAAAAAAAUGGUAAAUUAAUAUUGGAGUUGUAAUUUGCACGAAGAAGUUGUAAACAAAACAAAAACUUAGAAAAAUGACAUAGAACUUAUAAAUUGACAUUAAGUGUGAAAUGAAAUAAAAAAUUUGUAAACCACACAUAAAACUAGUAAAUUAAUGGAAAAAUAGGUAAAUUAAUGUUGGAGUUGUAAUUGGCAAGAAGAACUUGUAAACAAAACAAAAACUUAGAAAAAUGACAUACAACUAGUAAAUUGACAUUACGUGUGAAAUGAAACAAAAAAAAUGUGUAAAUCACACAUAAAACUAGUAAAUUGAUGGAAAAAGGGUAAAUUAAUGUUUGAGUUGUAAAUUGCAAGAAGAACUUGUAAACAAAAUAAAAACUUAGAAAAAUGACAUACAACUAGUAAAUUGACAUUACGUGUGAAAUGAAACAAAAAAAAUGUGUAAAUCACACAUAAAACUAGUAAAUUGAUGGAAAAAGGGUAAAUUAAUGUUGGAGUUGUAAAUUGCAAGAAGAACUUGUAAACAAAAUAAAAACUUAGAAAAAUGACGUAGAACUUGUAAAUUGACAUUAAGUGUGAAAUGAAACAAUAAAGUUGUAAACCACACAUAAAACUAGUAAAUUAAUGAAAAAAAUGGUAAAUUAAUGUUGGAGUUGUAAAUUGCAAUAAGAACUUGUAAACAAAACAAAAACUUAGAAAAAUGACGUAGAACUUGUAAAUUGACAUUAAGUGUGAAAUGAAACAAAAAAUUUGUAAACCACACAUAAAACUAGUAAAUUAAUGAAAAAAAUGGUAAAUUAAUAUUGGAGUUGUAAUUUGCACGAAGAAGUUGUAAACAAAACAAAAACUUAGAAAAAUGACAUACAACUUGUAAAUUGACAUUAAAUGUGAAAUGAAACAAAAAAUUUGUAAACCACACAUAAAACUAGUAAAUUAAUGGAAAAAUAGGUAAAUUAAUGUUGGAGUUGUAAUUGGCAAGAAGAACUUGUAAACAAAACAAAAACUUAGAAAAAUGACACACAACUAGUAAAUUGACAUUACGUGUGAAAUGAAACAAAAAAAAUGUGUAAAUCACACAUAAAACUAGUAAAUUGAUGGAAAAAGGGUAAAUUAAUGUUUGAGUUGUAAAUUGCAAGAAGAACUUGUAAACAAAAUAAAAACUUAGAAAAAUGACGUAGAACUUGUAAAUUGACAUUAAGUGUGAAAUGAAACAAAAAAUUUGUAAACCACACAUAAAACUAGUAAAUUAAUGAAAAAAAUGGUAAAUUAAUAUUGGAGUUGUAAUUUGCACGAAGAAGUUGUAAACAAAACAAAAACUUAGAAAAAUGACAUAGAACUUGUAAAUUGACAUUAAGUGUGAAAUGAAACAAAAAAUUUGUAAACCACACAUAAAACUAGUAAAUUAAUGAAAAAAAUGGUAAAUUAAUAUUGGAGUUGUAAUUUGCACGAAGAACUUGUAAACAAAACAAAAACUUAGAAAAAUGACGUUGAACUUGUAAAUUGACAUUAAGUGUGAAAUGAAACAAAAAAUUUGUAAACCACACAUAAAACUAGUAAAUUAAUGAAAAAAAUGGUAAAUUAAUAUUGGAGUUGUAAUUUGCACGAAGAAGUUGUAAACAAAACAAAAACUUAGAAAAAUGACAUAGAACUUGUAAAUUGACAUUAAGUGUGAAAUGAAACUAAAAAUUUGUAAACCACACAUAAAACUAGUAAAUUAAUGGAAAAAUAGGUAAAUUAAUGUUGGAGUUGUAAUUGGCAAGAAGAACUUGUAAACAAAACAAAAACUUAGAAAAAUGACAUACAACUAGUAAAUUGACAUUACGUGUGAAAUGAAACAAAAAAAAUGUGUAAAUCACACAUAAAACUAGUAAAUUGAUGGGAAAAGGGUAAAUUAAUGUUGGAGUUGUAAAUUGCAAGAAGAACUUGUAAACAAAAUAAAAACUUAGAAAAAUGACGUAGAACUUGUAAAUUGACAUUAAGUGUGAAAUGACACAAAAUAUUUUUAAACCACACAUAAAACUAGUAAAUUAAUGUUGGAGUUGUAAUUAGCACGAAGAAGUUGUAAACAAAACAAAAACUUAGAAAAAUGACAUAGAACUUGUAAAUUGACAUUAAGUGUGAAAUGAAACAAUAAAGUUGUAAACCACACAUAAAACUAGUAAAUUAAUGAAAAAAAUGGUAAAUUAAUGUUGGAGUUGUAAAUUGCAAGAACUUGUAAACAAAAUAAAAACUUAGAAAAAUGACGUAGAACCUGUAAAUUGACAUUAAGUGUGAAAUGAAACAAAAAAUUUGUAAACCACACAUAAAACUAGUAAAUUAAUGAAAAAAAUGGUAAAUUAAUAUUGGAGUUGUAAUUUGCACGAAGAAGUUUUAAACAAAACAAAAACUUAGAAAAAUGACAUACAACUAGUAAAUUGACAUUAAUUGUGAAAUGAAACAAAAAAUGUGUAAAUCGCACAUAAUACUAGUAAAUUGAUGGAAAAAUAGGUAAAUUAAUGAUGAAGUUGUAAUUGGCCAAAAGAACUUGUAAACAAAACAAAAAUUUUAAAAAAUGACAUAGAACUUGUAAAUUGACAUUAAGUGUGAAAUGAAACAAACAAUGCGUAAAUCACACAUAAAACUAGUAAAUUGAUGGAAAAAUGAAUAAAUUAAUGUUGGAGUUGUAAAUUGUAAGAAGAACUUGUAAACAAAACCAAAACUUAGAAAAAUGACAUAGAACUUGUAAAUUGACAUUAAGUGUGAAAUAAAACAAAAAAUUUGUAAACCACACAUACAACUAGUAAAUUAAUGGAAAAAUAGGUAAAUUAAUGUUAGAGUUUUAAAUUGUAAGAAGAACUUGUAAAUAAAACAAAAACUUGUAAAUGUUACAUAAAACUUGUAAAUCAACAUUAACUUGUAAAAGUUUCAUAAAACUUGUAAAUCACACAUAAAAUUAGUAAAUGUAACCUGGAACUUGAACAAAAAAGAGUAAUUACCUGCUAUUUAGGUAACAGGUUACCUAUUUAUUUAGAAUUAAUGGUAGAAAUCUUUUAUUCAAAUCUAACGGUCCACGUCCAUUACGGCAUCAAUGCCGUAAAUUUAGUUACGGCAUUAUAGAAUGACCCAUAUUUCAAAUAGUCACUAGACCAUUUCUGCCUUUAAUUUUCCCUUAAGUUUAACUAUUGACUGUUUUUAGCAUCUUAAAAUAUACAUUUAUUCCUUGAUUAUGUGAUAAAAUUAUGAAAAAAAUCCAUUUUAGCUUAAAUUAAUUGGAAUAACCAUAAACAUAACUUAAAUUAAUAGAACAAAAUUAUCAAGUGUAUGUUCUAUCUUACUUUUUGAAGAAUUUAACAUAUAUAAUGCUAUACUAUUAAUAAAUUCAUCAUUUAAUAUAUAUGUUCAAAUAUUUUAUAUAUUUAUUAAUUGUUAUAUAGUCAAAGGAUGAAUGAUUUUUCAGGUCUACAUGAGUUGGUGCAUCUGCAAGACUCAAUUUUGACAACAAUGAUCUAAGGGGUAAUUUACCUUGGUGUUUGACAAAUAUAACCUCUCUUCAAGAUUUACUUCCAAUCUACUUACUGUAAAUAUCUCCUCAUCUCCUCUCAUUUAUAUGAUAACCCUUGAAGAUCUCACAUUUUCAAACAAUCAUAUUAGGGUUUUUAUUAUUAACAUCAUUGUGUCAAUAAUAUAUGUUGCAGUAAGAUUUUUUCAGACCAAUUCCCUUCUUCAAAUAAUAAUGGAAAAGUAUUAAUUUAAAAAUAAAAUGAAUAUGCAUUGAUUAUAUCCUAAUUUUCAUCGAUUAUAGCGAGAGUUUCUCCAAAUCAACUCCCUUAUUCAAAAAAUACAGAAAAAAUAGUAAUUUAAUAGUAAAAUUAACAAGUGUUGAUUAUAUAUCCUAAGUUUCAUCGAUUAUGUGAUCAAAGUGGCAUUGUUGAUUUAUUUCUUGUUCAAUGUUAAUUUUUAGGUUAUCUAAAUUUCAAGGAUUUAAAAUCUUUGUUCAUGGAUUACACGCUUAUUAAUUUUUCUGCCAUUGACUGUCAUAUUCUAGACUUAAUCGUACCUUCCUUGAUCAAGGAUAAUUACUCUCUGUUCUCCUCUUAUAAAUUCCUCUUCCAUUAACAUCACUAGAAGUAUGUUGAUCUCUCAGACGUUAACUUCAGUGGAGAGUUUCCAAAUUGAUUGUUACAAAACAACACAAAAACUAGACACACUUGAUCUGUCUAAUAAUUCUCUUUCGGUAAAAUUAAUUAAUUUUAGGGGAAUAUUUGACCAACCUAUAUAAUUUUAGAUUGAUCAUUAAUUAAUUAGACGAAAAAAGUACUUGUGCUUUUGUGGCGACAAUUGAACCAGAGAAGUGAAGCUGUAAAGAUUUGGCAGUAGUAAUUAUAAUUUUUUCAAAAAACUUUUUUACAACACAGGCACCUGGCCAAAAAUUUUAUUUUUCUAACUAACAAUAAUUGAGUAGCUGACCGUAUUGACUCCACCUACUUGCUAAAGUAAAAAAAUAGAAAUAGAAUUUCCACAAAAUGUCAAACAUGUAAAAUCUAAUAUUUGGCCGUGUGGAACAAAAUACAAAUGAAAAAAAAUAGAAAAAAAGGCCUAAAGACUUUUAAAAUGUGUGGAAGUCUUUCGGCCCUUUUAUAAUGGUGUGUUUUUCAAAGGAACAAAUAAUAAUAAUGACACUUCUACGGUUUGUUUUGAUAAUCACACAUAUACUCUUUAAUUUGAUAAAUGGUUACACAAAUUUUGUUUACAAAAAUAUAUUAUUCAUGUUCUGUAUUAUUUUUUAACAUCAUAUUUUUAUUUAUUAUAAUUGUUUAAAGUUAAUUGUUAGGUUGAUAUAUAACAAAAACGUAUAAUCGUUCUCUUACUAAACAAACAUACUCGUAGUUUCUGUUCAUUUGUCAUCUCAAUCUCUCUCAUUUAUCCUUUAUUGAUAGCUCAAAACGCGUCACUGUGGAAAAUUAUAGCAAAAUGACAAAUAUGGAAAAAAUGGGAAGAAAAUUAAUGCAUGAAAGAGUUGUAGAAGACAACCAAAUAAGUCAACUAUACGCUAGCUGGGUGUAUAAAUUGUUAGAUGUGUUAUAAACAAAUAGCAUAGAGCCUUGGUUGGUUACAGAGAUAGAAAAAGUGUGUGUGUUUUUUAGAACUUAAAGAUACAGUUAGAAUGGGUGGUUCAAAAUCAAAAAUGGUGAUAAUGUUUGUUCUGUUAUUAAUAAUAUUUGAAGGUGGGUGGAGUGAGGGAUGUUUGGAUCAUGAGAGAUUUGCUCUAUUGCGACUCAAACAUUUCUUCAUUAAUCCUUAUAAUCUUCUUUACAACUGGGUAGAUGAUGAUGGAGCUACUGAUUGUUGUCAGUGGGAAAGGGUUGAGUGCAGCAACACCACAGGGCGAGUGAUAGCACUAGACCUUUUUGACGCGCAUGGGGGAGAGUACUGGUAUCUGAAUGCUUCUUUAUUUACUCCCUUUCAACAACUUGAGUCACUUGAUUUAAGUUGGAACAAUAUAGCCGGUUGUGUUGAGAAUGAAGGUGCUUCGUCUAAUUCAAUUAAAUUACAUUUCGCUCUCCAAAUUUAAGUCGAAUAUCAAGACUGAGCAGCUAUAUGCAUAUUCAUUCAAUUGACAAUUUUUACAUAUUUUGUAAAAUGUUUAAUUUUGAAAUUACACCAAACAUCAUAUGUGAUCUUUGUUUUGAUUUUACUUGCAGGUCUAGAAAGAUUGAGCAACUUGAAGAGGCUUGAUUUAAGUCAUAACUUGUUCAACAAUAGUAUCUUAUCAUCUGUGGCUCAUCUUUCAUCACUAACAUCAUUAGAUUUAUCUGAAAAUAGAUUGGAAGGAAGUAUUAAUGUUAAAGGUACGUAAUUAAAACGUCAUCGCUUUUCCCAACUCUUUCAUUAACAUGUUAAAAUAAGAUUCAAGGCUUUGAAUUCAAUUUUUUUUAUGAGUAAAUAUUAGAAAAAUAGUUUUAAGCAAUUCAUAAAUACAAUUUUCAAUGUUUCUCAUAAUUACUCUAACUGUGAAGCAAAUACCCCAUGACUAAUUUAUCAUUUUGUCCAGUUAAAAAUGAUAAAAUUUAUCAUUUGUUUAUAUUGAUUUAUUAACUCUAUUUUAAGUCUUAAGUCUUGGCGUCUUGGCAUGUUUGCAGAAUUUGAUUCCUCGAGCAACUUAGAGGAGUUGGACAUGAGCUACAAUGAAAUAGACAAUUUCGAGGUUCCUCAAGGUAAACAAUUAAAAUAUUAUUUAAUUACAUUAAUUUAAUUCGUUUGAUUAGGGAAGACCCAAAAUGUACAAAAACAUAAUUAAAAAAAUAAAGAAACAGAGAAUUCAUAUUAUUUCAAAAAACAAAAGGUAAUACUAUUAUUUCAAAAAAAGAAUGUAAUAAAGAUUUGAUUCCGGUUCUUUAAUCUUUAUAGCAAUUGAAAAACAAUGUUGCUCUUUUCCCAAAGCAUAAAAUACGAAUUGACUCCCAAUUAAAUUAAUCAUUUAUUUCGUUUAGGUCUAAAUUUAGAAAAAUGAUUUUUGAUUCUCUUCAAUCCUAUCCUUAUUAUUAUUGUUAAAUAGGUUACAGAGGUUUGAGGAAGUUGAAAAGCCUCUAUCUAUUGGAAGUUAAAAUUAGAGAUGGAAGCAAGUUGUUACAGUCAAUGGGAUCAUUCCCAUCCCUCAACACUCUUGACCUUUCGUGGAAUAAUUUUACCGAUAUAGCGACAACUACUACUCAAGGUAAGUAAAAGGUACAGAUGUGGCCAAAUUUAUAAACAAACUGUUAAUUAAUUAAUUUUUCCGUAUUAUUAAUUAAGCUAAAUUUGUUGCUUCUUCCUUCUAAAUCUAAACAGAGUUGCACAAUUUCACCAACUUGGAAUAUUUGACAUUGGACGAUUCCUCUCUCCAUAUAAGCCUUCUGCAAAGCAUUGCAUCAAUAUUCCCUUCGUUAAAAAAUUUGUCGAUGAUUGGUUGUGAAGUCAAUGGCGUCCUACGUGGUCAAGGUAAAAGAAAAGUGUUGAUUGUGAACUCGCUCAAUGGUGUCCUACGUGUUCAACAUUUUUAUUUAUUUAUUUUAUUGUUUAAUGUUUCUGCUAGGCUUUCCUCAUUCCAAGAGUUUGGAACAUUUGGAGAUGGAUGACGCGCGCAUUGCACUCAACACCAGCUUUCUUCAAAUCAUCGGAGAAUCAAUGUCUUCUCUUAAGUACUUAUCACUGUCAUAUUAUACUCUUAGCACUAACAGCAGCAGGAUUCUUGUUCGAGGUUAAUCAGAUGCUCCCACCCUCCCUUCUUAAUCUAUAAUAUUAAUUUUCAAUUAAAUAUUUAAUUACACAAACCAAUCACUUAUUAUAAAAGAACAAUACGCAUUCAUUAAUUUUUAUAUUGUAUUAAUAAUUGAUGAAUUUAAUAAAUUUUCAGGCCUCUGUUCGUUGAUGCAUCUGCAAGAGUUGUACAUUUAUAAUAAUGAUCUGAGAGGCAGCUUGCCUUGGUGCAUGGCAAAUAUGACAUCCCUCAGAAUAUUAGAUGUUUCUUCUAAUCAACUUACUGGAAGCAUCUCCUCAUCUCCCCUCGUUCAUUUGACAUCCAUUGAAGAGCUGUAUCUUUCAAACAAUCAUUUUCGGAUCCCAAUUUCACUUGAACCACUUUUCAAUCACUCAAGACUCAAGGUUUUUUGGGUUAAGAACAAUGAAAUAAAUGCAGAAAUAACUCAGUCACCUUCUUUUACCGCCCCAAACUUCCAAUUAUCACGUCUCUCAUUGUCUUCCGGUUAUGGAGACGGUGUCAUAUUCCCCAAAUUCCUUUACCAUCAACUUGGUUGUUGGAAAACAACACAAAAUUGAGACAACUUUCUCUCGUCAAUGAUUCUCUUGCAGGACCUUUUCGGUUGCCAAUUCAUUCACACAAGCGGUUAAGACUGUUGGAUAUAUCCAACAACAACAUCCGAGGCCACAUUCCAGUAAAAAUUGGAGAUGUUUUACCAAGUUUAUACGUUUUCAACAAUUCCAUGAAUGCUUUAGACGGUAGCAUUCCCUCUUCAUUUGGUAAUAUGAAAUUCCUCCAAAUUCUGGACUUAUCCAACAAUCACUUGACAGGUGAAAUCCCCGAGCACUUGGCCGUGGGUUGCGUCAACUUGCAGUCUCUUGCAUUAUCAAAUAACAACCUACAAGGUCAUUUGUUCUCUAGAAAUUUUAACUUGACAAACUUGAAAUGGUUACAAUUGGAGGGCAAUCGCUUCGUAGGUGAGAUCCCACAAAGUUUGUCUAAAUGCUCCUCACUAGAAGGAUUGUAUCUUAACAAUAAUAGUCUUUCGGGUAAGAUUCCACGAUGGUUGGGUAAUCUCACAUGGUUACAAUAUAUUAUAAUGCCCAAUAAUCAUCUUGAAGGCCCUAUUCCAGUGGAGUUUUGUCAGCUUGAUUCGCUUCAGAUUUUGGACAUUUCAGACAACAACAUAUCUGGAAGUCUACCAUCUUGUUUCCAUCCUCUCAAUAUCAAACAAGUUCAUCUUUCAAAAAAUAUGUUACAUGGACAGCUAAAAAGAGGUACAUUCUUUAAUUGCUCUUCCCUUGUGACAUUAGAUCUUAGUUAUAAUCGCUUGAAUGGCAGCAUUCCGGAUUGGAUUGAUGGGCUUUCUCGGUUAAGCCACCUUAUCUUAGGUCACAAUAAUCUUGAAGGUGAAGUGCCAGUUCAAUUGUGCGAAUUGAACCAACUACAAUUGUUAGAUCUUUCUAAUAAUAAUCUUCAUGGUCCUAUUCCUCCUUGCUUUGAUAACACCACACUUCAUGAAAGUUACAGCAAUAGUUCUAGUCCUGAUGAGCAAUUUGAAAUAUUUUUUUCCAACGAAAGCUCUCAGGGAAAUGUAGAAAAGCAAAUCCAUGAAAUUUUUGAGUUCACAACAAAGAACAUUGCGUACAUUUACCAAGGAAAAGUGCUUAGCCUCCUAUCAGGACUUGAUCUUUCUUGCAACAAGCUAAUCGGUCCUAUUCCUCCUCAAAUUGGAAAUUUGACAAGGAUUCAAACAUUGAAUCUAUCACACAACGACUUGACAGGAUUGAUCCCAUCAACAUUUUCAAACUUGAAGCAUGUCGAAAGUUUGGAUCUUUCCAACAACAAAUUGAAUGGGAAAAUCCCUCAUCAACUAGUGGAGUUAAAGACAUUGGAGGUUUUCAGUGUGGCAUACAAUAACUUAUCAGGCGAAAUUCCAGAAUGGAAAGCACAAUUUGCAACCUUCAACGAGAGUAGCUAUGAGGGAAAUACUUUUCUUUGUGGAUUGCCAUUGCCCAUUUGCAGAUCACCAGCAACUAUGUCGGAGGCUUCAAUUGGCAAUGAACGAGAUGAUAAUUUAAUUGACAUGAACAGUUUCUUUAUCACAUUUACAACAUCAUACGUAAUUGUGAUAUUCGGAAUUGUUAUUGUUUUAUAUGUAAAUCCUUAUUGGCGACGUAGAUGGUUUUACUUUGUUGAAAUGUGGAUAACUUCAUGUUACUAUUUUGUUGUAGACAAUCUUAUUCCAACAAGAUUUUGUCAUUGAAAUUAAUUAGUAGCUUAAUUACGAUUCUUUAAGUACUAAUCAAGUUUGCUUAGGAAAUAUUUUUUUAUUAAAAUUGUAGUAGUAUUUAGCAUUAUAUAGCUUCCAACUUCCAAGCACUUCACAUUUUUCUCUACACUUAAAAAACUGAGUGAUCAUGUUUUGCAGAUCUGGAUUUGGAGCAGGAUGGAUCCAAACCCAUAUCUGUCCACCAUAACUUAUAGCUUCCCUAUACUGUGCAGCAUACUUAAAUAAGAGAACCAUCUCCAAUGUUAAAAGCAUUCACUCUAUAACAUUCAUUUAGAAACUAUAUUCAGAAUAAUUUUAUAAUUAAACACAAGAAAUGAAACACACAGAUACACUUGAUCGCCUAUUUUACUCUAAAAAAGAACGAUUAUUGUGCUAUCAUCAUCUUCUUCACUAGCAACAUUAACACCAAAUCGAUGGACCCAUACAUUUCAUCAAGAAAGGUAUAUAUCCAAUAAAGUUGAAGCCUAACAAAAAAUUCAAGAAGAUUAAUGCCUCGCCACAACAAGGGGCACAACAACAUCAAAGUAGAGAUUAAGCAGUAUUCUCAAAGCUAAAACUCUCAAAUCCACCCACCAGAAUUUCAUAUCUCCUCAACAAUUUUAAGAACUAAAGAUAAUUAGGAUUUAACAUUAGUUUUUUAUAUAUUAGUUUCAUAAUUUACAAAUCAAUGAAGAUGAAGAUUAUGCUAAUAAAUUCAAAUUAUACCAUACAUUCUCUAGAUGUUACCAAAAAUUUCUAAGUCAAUCCCACAUAUUUCAUAAUUUUAAGACUAGAAAAUUUCACUAGUUAGAAGUUUCAUUACCUUCAAGUGGAAGAUGAAGAACAUUAUACAAGUGAUUCAGAUUAUAUCAUACAUACUCCAAAUGCAACUAGAAAUUAACAAGUUCAUGCGCACAUAUUUCAUAACAGUAAAAAUUUGUUGCUCAACAUGAUGUGUAUUUUUUUUCAAGGCAAUUUGGAAACACAAUUGUUUCUACAGAUAUUCUUCUCAACUUGGAGAUAAAUACAAAUAUUAAAAUGCAUAUGAUCGCACAUAUUACUUCGAGUUUAGUAAGAUUUCAUUAAAAGAAGCAAUCAAACCACUUAUCAAUUGUCGCAGUCGUUCUAUAAACUAAAAUAGCAAUAUAAUACAAGAAAAAGAACAUAUAGAUACUUGGCAAGAGUUCAUUAAGAAGUCGCAUCACAUUCGGGUGAGGAGUUUUCUGAUAUCUUGCUAGCUGGGGCUUUUUCUUGUCUUUCUACGUAUGCCGAGGGAAACCAACCAGCUUGGCCCUUGCAUUCACCUUCCGACCAUCCAGUAGGAGCCACCUUGAGAAGUUAUAACUAAAACGGUGAAUUAAACAAAAGUUAAUCGUUCAAAGACCUAAGGGGAAAACUAAUUCUUUUACGUAGGAGGAGUGAAUUAGUUGUGAUCACUGAAAUAACAGCAUAACUAUAGAAGCAUAACAAGAUAUAAAUUCACAUGUCUAUAAGGGUAAACUGGGUGGUUUAGAACCGAGCUAGCAGCCCUACUAUAUUCUGAUUUGCACUUCAAUGUAAAAGGGAAUAUAUGGUAGGAAGAAAGAAAACCAACCAUCAUUUGUUAACUCGUUGCUUUUCAAUCAAAAUUUUAAGAAAAAAAUGCCAUGUGCUUUGAACAUCAAAUAAGUAUAAGCAUUAGUUCUAAAUUCCACAUAUCAUAAGUUGUUAGAAGGAUAAGUUAAUAGCAGAGUAGAAAAAUCUAUGUGUUGGUAUUUAGAGGGGAAAGUACCUGGCGAACCACAACAUAAUCAUCAAUUGAAAGACUUAGCUUUCCAUUUGCUUGAGCAUCAAAUGGAUGUAUAACCUGCAAGAUAAUGGGAUAAAUAGAACUUAAAAAAAGCAUAACAAAAGUAGCAACAGUAGCAGCAACGUUCAUUGUAACCACUAUGAUCAUGGCCAACAAAGAUAUAUUAGAAACAAAAUUCCAUUUUUACUACGACAUUAAUAUGUACUAUACGAUAUCAUGACGAUUGGGUUACUAAGAGCUAUCAAAGUCUAAUAAGUUCUGUAUAACUUUAUGUAGUUAUUUAAAUUAUGGAUCAGAUUUUAAAUUUGAAAUUUUGACUGCUCUCCACAAAACAUGGCCUAUGCACAAGAAAGUCAUAGAUAAUGAGGAUUACAAGUGUCCGACAUCUUUUGAGUGAUGGAUUUAACAUGAGAGCUUAUGGUCAGUCAAUUUCCUCUGCCUAGCAAUAUAAGCUUUCUCGGCCAGAUUUAUCUUCAAAUACAUAGAUUGCCCCCAAGUCACAUCCAUAUAAACAUAGUUUUUCUAGGUAAACCAAGUAAGGAGUAUCAUAAUUCAGACAUAAUCAUAAAAAGGCCCAUCUAACUUAAGAGAAAAUCUCAAAAAGAGGGAUGCUGAGCUAUCAGUCUUGUAUCUAUAAGCAAUAUCAAGACUUUACAUCACCUGCUACAUCGUGAGUGGCUACACAACUUUCAGUGGUUUGUCUUUCUUUGGCAUGCCUAACUCAGCUUUGAUGUUGCUGAGAUAUUGAUAGUAGAGACACAUGAUACUUCUAGCUCAUGCAUUCUAUCUAACUCAUCCAACAACUAUCUCUUUUUUAAUUCAUUAGUGUUUGCUAAACCUCAUGCUUAAAAGUCCUGUUCUCCUAAACAAAGUUUCCUAAGAAUGACUUCCUUAGCACCACAUUUGGACACUUUUAGAGCAAUUUUAUUUGGGGGAAAAGAAUUUUCAAGGUGUUAACUAAUAAAUUUUUAAAAAAUAAUUACAAUUUGUCCUACGAUCAUAUGACAAUUUAUCUGGGAUGAAAGGAUACAGAUAGACAUCUUCCACUUUCAAGACUAAUCACUACUUCCGUAGAUGUUGUGCAAUAAUACAAAUACUUGACCAGAUGGUAGUAAUGGUAGAAAAAAAUUUUAUUGCUCCAAAAUUAAAAUAAGAAUGCAAUAUGUUAAGCAAAAGGCUGUGCAACAUCAAAUUAAUUGAUAAGUUUGUAAUUCAGUAAAUUAACAACUUUCAUGGUAAAAUACAACAAAUUUCUUUUGAAAAAAAUAAAAAAAAUAAAUCUUAAAAGACAGCAUUCAAUUUUGUGCGCAUCUUAUUUCUUAAGAUUUUUCAGGAGGAGGGCAAUAGAGGGACUUUCACCUAUGCAAGAGAGCAGAAGCCUUACUUUCCCUAUAAAGUAGACGUCAUUCUGAUUAAUAUGCGUUUGCAAAUCAGCUCCGUUUGAAUCAGUAUUCUGAUAGACACACGAGGCAUUUACAUCCAUUUCCAAAGUCACAUGUUGCGAGGAGGACUCAUUUGAUUGCUCCUAUACGAUCAUCUAAUUCAAGUAGCAAGGGUUGGAAGAGAAUAAAAAGUCACAAUUAUUCUUUUGCAUAAGUGAGACGAAAAUGAUAAAUGCAAUAUUAUCAGCAGUAAACAAGAAGAGAACGCUCCAAGAAAUAGAUAGAUGCAGACAAGCAAGUUAAAAUGCAUAGUCCCAAACCUCCGCAUACAACUUCUCUAAAGUAGCAAUAACGUGUUGAUGCUAUGUUUUCUCAGCAUCUACCUGCAAAGGCCCGAGACCAGGAAAACAACAAUAAAACCACUAGCUGAAGGAGAAAGCAAAGAAAGAAAUACACUUGACAUAAAUCUUGACAAGAAGCACAAUUUAAGACAUAACAAACCCCAAUCAUAUUGUUUAGAACUACCAUUCGUUAUUUCGUUAUUGUAACAUUUCGAACAAGUGUUGACUUAAUUCAACAUUGUUGGAAAGAUAGGCUUUUAGAAGCAGAAGAAAGCCUCUCAAACCAAAGUGCUUGUCCUUGUAUUGAUCAAGGGAUGUAAACAUAUUACAUUUGCAGGAUGAGAUUUAAUCACUCCCCUGAUUUAUUUGGGUUGCAAUAAAACUAAGCGAGCAACUGUUUGACUUUCAAGCAACAACUAAAUCAGCUAUUAAAAUUCAAAUAAAAUCAUAAUAGAAUAAUAACAGGCCAUCUUGCAUCAAAAAUUAAGUUUAAUUUGUGAAUUUUUUUCUAUAGACAUGUCAGUUUCUGCUAUUGAAAUGUUAAAAGUAUUGAAAAAUUAUUCAAUAAAUUAUGCAAGCAUUAAAAUAGAGGAAAAAUUAAAAAGUUUCUAAUUACAAUGUUAAUAUUUCCUAUAUUUUAGCAUUUGCAUAUUUUAAUUUAUUUAAAAGCUACGUCGAUCAACUUUGGGCAUGAAGAUUUUAGAUUCUACGAGACUUGAUUGGAAUAUGCAUAAGAGUGUUAAAAUAUGAUGCAUCCAACGAAAGACAAACCACGUGUAGUCUUUUAAUUAAGCCAAAGUAGCAGCUCAAACAAAUGACACUUGGACCAACAUGCAAUCAUGAAGUGGCCGGAAAAAGGACAAAUGCUACUUUGGCUUAAAUAAAAAAUAACAUGUGACUUGACUUUUGCUGGACAUGCAUCAUGUUAUUACAAGACAACAGAAAUCAGUAUGAUAGUAAUAAAAGUUGACAAUAACAUGAAGAUAAGAGGCAGAAUGUCAACACAUGCAUAGGCACACACAAGAAAGUAUUAACAUAUAUACCAUAGCAAAAACUCUUUGAUAUGUCAUCUGUUGCUGCUGUGAUUCAACUGACAGCAUGGCAGCUGUCGCUUCUCUACCAAGAGCCAUUAUUGUAGAUUUAAGCUCGGUCAAUCUUGCUUCUGCAUUUCGAAGCUUCACAGCACUCUCUGCUGAUAUAUCAGAUUCCCUAAUCUUUGAUCGGUGCCUAAAUACUUCAGCUGCCUGGUGAAAAUAUUCAAUAUAAAUCUAAUAUAAUUCUCAUCUUGCCUUAUACAUGCAUAUGUUACCUCAAAGCUUACCUGGGCUUCAACUUCAUGUCGAAGUUUGUCAUAACGAUGAGUCAGGUGUUGAGCAUCUUCCAAAGGUGCUCUGUUGAUUAACGCCCGUAGUGGCUCAGAUACCUACAUGUCCAAAAACCUGUAACAUAGUUAGAAAAAUGAAAAGAAAGAGCGAAACCUAAAUUAAAAAGUUCCUCCAACAUAAUCAUGGAAUUUGGGCCUACUUUAAGAAUAUAUAUAAGGAUAAUUUAUGCAAUUUUGGGUCUUAGGAUGAUUGGUAUUAGGUUAGUGUUCUUCUCUUCUGUAUUUAAGGUUAAAAUAGAAAUAAACCUAUGCAAAUAUCUAAAUUAGGCCUGUAAGACAUCCACAUGCAUCCUUCAGUCUCAUGGAUUUGAUUUUACUAUAGAUGCAAGUGUCUUUAUCGAAAAUGCUUGGAGUCAAUUGAGAGAACUCAUGGCCAAUAACUUGUCACACGCUAGUCUUUGCUAGUGAUGUAAGAAGUCACAAGGUCUCUUCAACAUUUGAACCAAUAAAAUUAUUAAGUCAUGGAUGUCACUAGCAAUGAUUUUAAUAUAAAACAUUAAAUAUUUCAGAGUUGUAACUUUAAAAUGGAUUCUUUUAUUCAAUAUCAUAGAACUAAGUUUCCUUAUGAGAAGAUAAUAGUUUCGAUAAUAAUUUUACAUAUAAUUUUCUAUAUUUGAAUUAUUUUCUAGUUAGGGAUGAACUAACCUGAUCACGAAGAAUCCCGAGCAAAGUUUCCCUCUCAUUUUCCAUCAAAUCAUGUGAAGUGCCAAAUUGAAGAGCAGCUCUUGCAACGCAAGAAUUGUCACUUUGAUUCUCUGCUCCAUACUUGCAACAAUCUUCAGCCAACUUUCUCGCUACACUAUUUGAAUACAAAAAUAUUGUACACAAGAACUAUAAAAAACGAAUGAAAAAUAAAUAAAAUCGAGAAAUUUCACUAAUUAAAAGUCUAAAUAUAAUUUUUGAAAAAAGAAAAGAAACGGACUUGCUGCUGCUUGGCGACUUGUUCUCGGAGCUUGAUUGCCUGUUUCUUGAUAGUUUCCAUACUGUUUCUUUCAAAAAGCGACGACGGCUCAGCUCAUGGAAGUGGAAAAAAAAAAGUGUGAUCUAGAAAAAUGAAAAGGCGUGAAUAAUUUUUGACAAAAAGCGAAAAUCAAGGAAAGCCGGCUCUUUCCAGAAAAUAAAAAAAAGAAAAUCAUAAGUUUGAAAGGAGAAGAUGAUAGUGGAAGUAUGCGGUGUGGCUGCCAGGUACUUGGAUUGUAUUGUCGGGUAAGGUAAUAGUAGCGAAUUAUAAGUUUGAACAGAGCAUGUUGGACUUUUGUUGACCAAAUUCAAAAGCCCAAUGGCACGGCCCGGAAGCUUUUGAAUAGAAAAACUUGCUAGAAAGCAUCAGUUUAAAUCACUACUUAAACGCUUGCUUUAACUGCACCGCUUUGUACUGUUUUAUGUAUG